RNAcentral lists this long non-coding RNA (49746 nucleotides) under Gossypium barbadense (sea-island cotton). RNAcentral describes it as "long non-coding RNA (GBAR_LNC013051)". Lineage: Eukaryota; Viridiplantae; Streptophyta; Magnoliopsida; Malvales; Malvaceae. The record is from RNAcentral.
CUAUGACUCCCUUGAUGUGCAUGUUGGACAGUGCUUCAGUGUGCUUGUUACUGCCAACCAGGAACCAAGGGAUUACUAUGUGGUGGCCUCUACCCGUUUUACCAGACGUGAGGUUACAGCAACUGGCAUCAUCCGUUACAAGAAUGGUAAGGGAGCUGCCUCAUCCGAGUUGCCACCACCACCUGUUGGUUGGGCUUGGUCACUCAAUCAAUUCCGUACCUUCCGUUGGAACUUGACUUCUAACGCUGCUAGGCCUAACCCUCAGGGCUCCUACAAAUAUGGUUCCAUUAACAUUACCCGCACCAUCAAGCUUGCCAACACUGCACAAAAAGUAGAUGGCAAGCUCCGAUAUGCUCUUAAUGGAGUCUCCUAUGUCGAACCAACCACUCCACUAAAACUUGCAGAAUACUACGGCGUAGCCGACAAGGUUUUCAAGUAUGAUACCAUUCCCGAUGAGCCACAAAGUGACAACACUAAGGUAACUUUGGCACCUAUUGUGCUGAACAUGACACACAGAAACUUUGUGGAAAUAAUCUUCGAGAAUCACGAGAGCGCCAUUCAGUCUUACCACUUGUCUGGCUACUCAUUCUUUGCUGUGGGGUAAGUAUAGCUUCUAACAUAACAAAUACAUGUGGUGAUUUGCUUGAGUUGGAAGUAAUAAGUUGUAUAAUGAUUUGUUGCAGCAUGGACGUUGGGAAAUGGAGCCCCGAGAAGAGGAUGAACUACAAUCUUCUUGACGCCGUGAGCAGACACACCAUACAGGUAUUCCCCAACUCCUGGUCAGCAAUCCUAUUGACAUUCGACAACUGCGGGAUGUGGAACCUGAGGUCGGAGAUAUGGGACAGGCAUUACCUUGGGCAACAGCUUUAUGCUAGUGUUAUUUCCCCUAACCGAUCCCUCAAGGAUGAGUACAACUUGCCGGAAGGUGUAUUGACUUGCGGCAUCGUGCAAGGCAUGCCAAGGCCUCCACCUUUCAGCAGUUAAUUUAAUUAAGCUUAUAAAUCUGUAUCCAAUUAUGGUAUAUGAGGAGAGAGAGGGUGAGAAAAGCUUGAGUUCCAAAUGUAUUUAAUGAAAUAAAAUGUUUUGGACCAUAUGUUUAUACUCAAAUCAUGCGCAAGCUUUCAACAAUUUCAUUGCUGCCAUGUUUUAAUUCUAGUUACUUUGUUCAUUAUUAAAAUCAUAUAAUACCUUAAUAAGAAAAACCAUCACAAAAUAGUAUGCAUCACGAAAAUAAUUAAUGAAUAGACCAACAUUCUGUUAUCUUCUUCCCUUUUCUAUUUUCUGCUUUCUGUUUCGGUUCAUAACAGAACCAGGAGACUAAACAUCCCUCAGUCCACUCCUGCAAGGUAAGAUUCUCCCAAGAAAUUUACUACUGCCAAAGAAAGAGCAAACAAUUUUGUCAACUGUCUGCACCAACAGAUAUUUGCUUGUUGGUAUUUUGGAUGAGAGAUGAGUGAAGUUAGCAGUUUCUUGAGCUAGAAGGCUCGAUACUUGCUAAACAAACAAAACAGAAUUGAGCUUGAAGAACAAGAAUAAAUGCAAAGAAAGAGAGAACUGAAUGAAUAAUUCUGAUGAUUUUUCAUUAACCUUGAAAGAUGGCAUAAUGCCAAUACAUAUACCAGGCAUAAGCUAGUCAAAGGUAAGCAAAUUUUCACCUAAACAUUACCUACUACCACUUAGUAACUUUGAAACUUAUAAAACAUAACUUGUACACUUUGUAAAGCUGAUUUAUCAGCUCAAAUGUCAACAAAAUUACAUUCAGUACAUUAACAACUUAGUUCUAAUUUAACUAAGUUACAAAACAUCAAUUGAGGUAACAAAACAAAAUGGAAUUGAACAGCAGCAUCAACUUCAACUGCAACUGCAUGGCUCGGGCUGCUUCUCUGCAACUUGGCUGCAUGCAGGCCAACUUCAACAGCUCUGUACAAAGAAGCACUUCAUUGAGUAGAAUGACUUGCUACAAUUUGUUGCUUUUGUAAAACCAUAUGCCGAGGAAGGCGUUUAUGGGUUUUAUGUCAAUAUUCUCGAGUCUGUCAAUAAGUCUUGGAGCAAGCUCUUCCACAAAGAUUAUGUUCGAGGAAGAUAGUAUAAUUUUGGCCCUACACAAAUUAGGGAGCUAUUGCUUCACUCAUGCUUGAUAGAUGUCAAGCUAGAUGAAUUUUAUGAUACAAUGGUCAAAACCAUCACCAAUGGAGUUCAUCUUACCUUGCCCCUAAGCAACUGAGCCACAAGCUUCUACUCUAGAGCCCACUUAUGCUGGCCUGUUUGCUAUUGCAACCAGAAACUGGAUUCCUAAUAGCCAAACGAAUACAGUUACAAAGAAGAUGGUUACUCUGCUUAGGAAGAUUUGUGAUGUGAUUCAAUUUUCACUUGGGAGAGCUUAUUUUUCAGGAAAUCAUCAAACAUACUAAUUUUGUUUACCCCAUGUUAUAUCUUUCUUUCCUUUCACUUAUUUUUCAGAUACUUUAUAAUCAAAAUCCUGAAAUUGUAUUGGCUACUGAAAAAUAUGAAAGGAAGCCUAUAGAGUUGAAGUAUUCAUACAAGUGGCUUGAAGGGAAACACCAGGUUGCACUCCCUGAAGCUGUUCCUGAUGUUGUGGCUCAGCCUGUUGGAGUUGGCACAAAGGAAGACAUUUCAUCUCAGCUCUCAGCCUUUGAACAAAAGAUCCUCCAACAUCUUGAUGCUGAGAUUGCCUCCCAAGAAAAGGUCAUUUAACAACUUCAAGCCAAUGUUCGAAGAGUCAAAGCAUUGUGGAAUGAUCUCCUGGCCAAGCUGCUUCAGUUGGGUUUGGAAAAUCUCUUGAACUAAAAGGGGGAGUGGUAUAAAGGACUUGGCACUACAGGUGACACUACUGCAAUUAGUAUCAUGUUUUUUCUUUUCUUAGUAUGAUGAUUUUUCUGUGCCACAAUCACCAUAAACUUAGGGCAUGAGGGGAUGAAAUAAUUUACCACCAUAAUAUUGGGGUUCCAAUUCUCAUCAAAGAAUUUGCAACCCUCAGUUUCAGAAGCUAUUUGCCAAAUGAAAUUUGUUUUAUUUUAAUGUUUUUGGGUUAUAAUUUUGAAGACUCUUAACUUGAAUUAUGUUUAUUUUAAUUGAUAUUUUGUGAACCUUUAUCCUAUCUAUGAUAUAAAUUCCAGUACUUUGGUUAUAAAGGCUAUUCUCACUACUUAUGCAUUAAUGAUUAUUUUGUUAGUAUUAAUUGAAGUAUGAUGGAUUAAGGGUGACCUAAAAUGAAAAAUUUUCAUUUAGGUCCUUUUUUAAAUUAAUAAAAGUAAAAUUACAUGUUGACCCCCUUAAAGAUGAUGAAAAUUUGAUUUAAUCCUAUAAAAAAUAUAAAGAUAUUAAUUAUUAAAAUUAUAAAAUUACACUUUUAAUAUCGUAAAAAAUUACAAUUUAAUUUUAACCCCUAAAUCCUUGAUUAUUUAGGGAGAGCAUUUGUUAUAGUGAAAUUACUAAUACCAAACAAAUUUUCUAUUUAAUGUUGAUUUUUGUAUGAUUAAUAUUUAACCAUCAUAAUUUCAAUUCUGAUUAAAAUUUAAAUAUUUAACUAUAUUUUUUUAAUGUAAAAACUUUGAACCAUUAUAUAUAUAUUGGAUUGAAAUAGUAGAGAUUUUCGAUUAAUUCGAAAAUUUACUUGUAUGACAAAUAAAAUAAUAGAUUCAACAAUUAAAAACAUUAAUUAACUUUUAUUUGUUAAUAAUUCGUUAAUUUAUGUAAGUUUUUACAUAUUUAUCUAUUUGGAUUGUGAUUGUAUUAUUUUUUCCAUUAUAUCGUAUUAUUGAUAUUAUUUACGAAAAAACUAUAUUUUAAAAAAAUAAAAUAAAUUUCACACACACUGUAAAUAGAAAAAAAUGAAAGAAUUUAUUAUUGAAUGAAGUAAUAUAUUCUGAUAUUACAUCAAGAAAAUUAAUUUAUUGGAAAAGUCAGCAUUAGUCACUACAAAGGCCGUUUUAUGUGUAUUUGAAGCAGAACUGGUUCCAGGUUUAUAUAAGCUUUAAAUUAGGUGUAAGCUGGUGGUGGCCUUGGCAUGUUUUCCACAACACCGCAAACUAGUGCACCCUCAGGCAUGUUGUAUUCGUCCCUGAGUGAUUUGUUAGGGGAAAGAACACUAACAUAAAGCUGUUGCCCAAGGUAACGCCUGUCCCAUAUCUCUGACCUGAUGUUCCACAUUCCACAGUUGUCGAAUGACAAUAGGAUAGCUGCCCAGGACUUGGGGAAAACCUGUAUGGUGUGUCUGCUCACGGCAUCAAGAAGAUUGUAGUUCUUCCUCUUCUCAGGGCUCCAUUGCCCAGUCUCGACACUGCAACAAAUGAUUAUAGAAUUUAGUUAAACGGAAAGUAAUGACUAUAUACUAGAAGAAUUUAAAGACCAAAUACUUACGCCACAGCAAAGAAGGCAUAGCCACACAAGUGAUAAGACUGGAUGGCUGUUUCGCGAUUCUCGAAGACGAUUUCCAUAAAGUUUCUGUGUGUCAGGUUGAGGACAACAGGUUCCAUGGUUAUUUUAGUGAUCUCAGCUGGUGGGUCAUCAGGAAUGGUAUCGUACUUGAAAACCUUGUCAGCUACGCCGUAGUAUUCUGCAAGUUUUAGUGGAGUGGUUGGUUCGACAUAGGAGGCUCCAUUAAUAGCAUAUCGAAGCUUGCCAUCUACUUUUUGAGCAGUGUUGGCCAGCUUGAUGGUACGGGUAAUGUUAACGGAACCAUAUUUGUAGGAGCCCUGAGGGUUAGGCCUAGCAGCGCUGGCAGUCAAGUUCCAACGGAAGGUACGGAAUUGAUUGAGUGACCAAGCCCAACCAACUGGUGGUGGUGGCAACUUAGGUGAGGGUGCGCCCUUGCCAUUGGUGUAACGGAUGACACCAGUUGCUGUAACCUCUUGUUUGGUAAAACGGGUAGAGGCCACAACAAAGUAAUCCUUUGGUUCUUGGUCGGCUGUAACAAGCACACUGAAGCACUGUCCAACAUGAACAUCAAGGGAUUCAUAGUCAUUUUGCACUGUGUGGGAACCCUCCAUCUCAACCAAUUUCAUGUUGUGGCCUUGGAACCUGACGUUCAGAGAUGUCUUGAGACCCGCAUUGCAAAUCCUAUACUUGUAGGUUUUGCCUGCUUCCAUGGUGAAGAGAGGUUCAUCGCUACCAUCACCUUUAGCAACUUUUCCAUUAAUGUGGACACCAUCACAUCUACCAAGGUUACGGCCGCUCUCAAGAAUUUUCUUGAGGGUGGUGUGUCCCUUGUUGAAAAAAUCUCCUGCUAUGAUAGUAUAGUCAUCAGCUGGAUCAGCAUAGGGGACAGGAAUGAGUAAACGACUGUUAAUACGAAGGCCACCGAAACCGCCAACCGCCUUAUGCAUACCCGUCACUGGAUAAUACAUGUAGCUGCCAAUUUGGUCCUUCACCUGGAAUUUAUAGGUGUAAUUCGUCCCGGGGGGGAUAGGACAGUUGGUUCCAAGCACACCAUCUUGCCAAGGAUUCUUCCUAUGCUGUACGCCACUCCUGCAACAGAUUUCAUUUCCAUAUAUAUAUAUAUAUGUAAUUAAGCUCAACUCUUUACUAAUAUAAUCAAAUGGGAAAAAAAGUAAUCUGGUUUACCAUGUCAAAAGGAAUGGCUCAUCAAGGUUGUUGAACACAUUGACUAUAACAUUGUUGUUGGUGGUAGAGUUAAUAUUUGGCCCAGGGAAUUGCCCGUUAAUAAGAAUACCUUUAACGGGAACACCUAAAGGAGAUAUAGUGCCAUAAGUGACCUUCCACUCGAAACUAAUGGUGGGAUCUCCACCUUGAACCAUAAGCAGUGAUCCUACCCAGAGGAAAAACACCGCUAUUAUCGUCAAUGGAGCCAUUUUAUUGGCUUCAAAUUCUCUUAUAUAAUUUUAUAAAUUAAGACUGUUUAUCCCCUCUUAGAGGAAGAAGAUUUGUUUGAGAUGAUUUGAGUUGCAUGUUGGCUUACCCUUUUAUACAACACAACUCCUUCUAAUACAAUCAUUCUUCAUCAUUCAAUUUUUCUCUUGAAAUCCUUAAAUUGAGCACAUCCAUUUGUUUCUUUACUUUAUUUUAGUACAUACUAUUUUUAACAUUAAGCGAUUUGAUUUUACCAUAAUUCUCUUUUGUUCUAAUAUAAUAUUUGCACAUUCAUUGUGUGGAUGGCUAAUAUUUCAUGACUAAUACAUCUUUAUCAAAUAAGUUUCAAAAUACUUAAUCCUUACCAUAACCAUUUAUUUAAUUACAUGGACGAUAUAAACGUGAACAAAACACAAAUAAAAAUUUAACAUGAAACCAAACCAGCAUUAGAAAAAAAUCAUAUAUAAGCAGUAUUCUAAAUUUAUAAAUAUAUAUUAUUUUUAUAUAUUCACAUGAUAGCUCAAUUUUUUUUCUAUAUUUUUAAAAUUAAAAUUUUAGUUUUAUAUAGAUUUUUAUAUACAUUAAUUUAUAAAUGUACAUAUCACUAUUAUUUUUAUAUAUUCACAUCAUGCUCAAAUUCUUUUUCCUAUAUUUUUAAAUGUGAAAUUUUGGUUUUCUAUUCUUUUAUAUGUUGGGCACACGAGAAACUUGGGUUUGUGCUCAGUGUUUUGGGUUGAAGCUUGGAUAAAAGGGCUUAAAAUAUUGCAUAGAAUAAGGGGUUUCACAGAGUGGGAGUUGAAAACAACAAUGCUGAGCUUUUUUCUUUACUUGAUGACCAAAAUGGAGAGCCAAGUUGUGAAGCCCAUGUAAGACACAUCCAAAUUCUUUGCAAUCACAAAUUGAAACUUACAUAAAUAUAGAGGCAGAUUGUUAGGGAAAAAUGAGCUUUCUUUUUCUCUGCCAAAGUAAAUUUUAUUUCGUAUAAAUACCAAUGAUCAGGCCUUUCAGAGGCACAUUGGUUGAGAUAUCCUUUUAUAUGCUAUAAGUCUCGAUUGCUCAUUUUCCUUUUCUGUCUCAUACCUCCUCUCUCUAUCGUUGUGCCCAUCAACACACUUUGUUUCCCUACUACGAUUGCACAGCUCAUUACUACCUUCUGAACGUUCCACAACCAUAUUUGACACAGUUACCCCUAUUUUCAUUUUAUUGGACUAAUGAGCAAAAUUUAACACCCUUUAUGUUACUUGAAAUUUCAUCGUCACUUUUAUCCGAAUGCCUACUAGCCCUCCUGCACCAAUGAUCAUCACAACCUAACAGAGGUCAAACUUCACUAGAGGUAAAGCCACCAUCAUAGCCAAGGACAUUGGACUCACAUUAUCUAGAUUUGCAAUUAAUUCGUUGACGUCCUCUUCACUUGAUGAACGAAUCACUUCAACUUCUAACACUUUCAGAUCAAUAUUUCAAGCCAACCACUUUUAUUUGGAUUUGCAGAACAACACUUACCUUACUCUGUAGUCUCUGAUACUUUCACCACUUCCUCAUUCUCACCUUGGACAAUCUUCAUGUCUCUGAUCCAUCUAUUUAACUAAGUUCUUUGUGCUGGUUUCUUUGAGGACACUCUUCUAAGAGUAAUUGAUGUGCUAAGUGAAGAUAUUAGGAAUUUUUAGCUCCUACACUCUAAUAUUUUUUGCAUUAUGUCUAGUUGAGCCUUCCUUUGUAUGAAAAAAAAAACCUAGUUUAAUCUAAUAGUUGAAUCUCAAACUUAAAGAGUUGUUAUUCACUUUUCAAGCAACCACUAACAUAUUAUGGAAAUUAGAGUGACAGAAACAAGGUAGCUGAUUCAUUGUCCAAACUACAAGUUUCAGAAGAUUUUGGAAUAAAGUGCUCACUCGACCCCUCAGAGAAAUCGAUACGUUAUUGUUAUUAGACAAAUUGGGGUCAUACCAUCCCAAUGGUAUUUUGAUGUAGAACAGUAAUGCCUAUUUGAAUUUCCCUUGUAUUUGAACUCUAUAAUUUUCUUUUAUAUAAUUUAGUCAUUGAUUUAUUUGGAUAGGUAUUAAAGUAAAUUUCGAUGAUUGGAAUUAUAAUUAGUAAAAGUUCUUUGUGGGAUCGAUAUUUUAUACCAUUUGUAAUGAUACAUAUACUUGUGUGUGUGAUAUUCGAUCAAGUUCAAAGCACCUUUUGUUUAGAGUAAUGGUGUUUCACGAAUAACUAUAUUUAGAACAAUUUCUAUUUAGUAGAAUUGUGUUUAUUCACAAUAAGUUCUACCAAACAGAACAUUACCAUAGAACAACUUUUGUUUGGAACAAAUAAGAAUAACCAUUAUUUAUGAACAACUCUCGUUCGAGAACAUCCAUUGUCUUGCAUUCGAAGAGAUGUUCCGAGGUAAAUGUUUCACAAGAUGCGGCUUCACCAAAGUAGAAGAAGUGGAAAUAACCUCGAAAUAUGACAGAGUUCUUAGAUUGUCUUCACUCUUAGGAUUUUUCGGAGAACUUGGCUUGGUAAAUUAAAUACGGAGGUAGGUAGGAGGUUUCCUCUUAACAUUCUCCUAUAACAUUGAGUGUUUUUCCUUUCUUUCAAAAAUAUGGUGAACACUUCUUCAAUAUUCAUCAUUAUCAUCACCAAAAAAGUCAUUAACCAUCCCGUCUUAACAAUUAUUGCCAUUCUAAUUGAAAACUAAUUUCAUUACUCAUAUUAAAUACCUAGUAUAAAUAUGAGCCCAUCACAUCUAUUUGAGUGACUUUUUGGCACUUUGGUAUUCUAAUUCUCAAAGCUCUCUAAAAUUCUUUCUACUUUUUUUUGUUGUUUAGCCUCAUCAUCAACCACAAUUCCCUUUCUCUUGCUUAUCAAACAUCACCUGUCGCUGUAACUAAUGUUAUAAGAUCUGCUCUAGUAUUCAUCUCUGCCUUUUUUCGAUACAUUAUGUUCACUUAUUUGCAAAGCUUGCUCUGAACCCUUUACAAUGUUUUAAUUUUAUAUAUAUUUAAUAUAAAUUCUCUCAUAGGAUGUCACAAAUGGAUAUAAUGUUAUAAUCUCUCCAAAAGAAUAAAGUUAAUUAUAAAUUUCUUUUCACAUUAUUUAUUCAAUAUGAACUUUUUAUGGUGGUCUUAAUUUAAUUAUAUAUAAAAUUUCACUUAAUAUCAAGUGUCUAGCAAUAAUGAUUAUAUAAUAAUGGAGGUUAAUGUUACUUUAAUACAUUUAUUUUAAAAAUUAUCAUAUUUAUAUAUUUAAAUUAAGAAAAUAACUAUAAAAACUCUCAUCAAAGUAACCAUUACCCUAAAAAAAUGUUAGCCAUCAGCAUAGUGGAUGUGAAAAUCCUUGAUGGAAAAGAAGAGAAUGAUAAAAUCAAAUUGAUUAGUGUUAAAAACAGUAUUUGCUAAAAGCCAGGAAAUAAAUGAAUGGAUGAGCGUAUUCUAAGGGAUUAAGAUGGAAGCAUUGAUGAGGGGAUUGUGUGGUAUAAAAGGAGAGGUAUGCAUGCAAUUCAAAAUCAACUCAAGCAAAUCAUCUUCCUCUUCCUCUAGAAGGGGAUAAUUAAUAAAUUACGGUUGGCGAAAAAAAGGGUAGGAGAUGGCUCGAUUGCUGUUAAUAUCGAUGCUAUUUCUCUGGGCAGGAUCAAUCCUUAUGGUUCAGGGUGGAGAUCCUACCCUUUUUUUCGAAUGGAACGUCACCUAUGGCACCAUUGCUCCUUUGGGAGUGCCAGUAAAGGGUAUUCUUAUUAACGGACAAUUCCCAGGACCAAAUAUUAACUCUACCACCAACAACAAUAUUGUGAUCCAUGUGUUCAAUAACCUUGAUGAGCCAUUCCUUGUAACAUGGUAAGCGACUACCAAGAGUAUUUUCUUUUUUACAUUAAUAUGAUUAUGUGCUAGUGAAGAAUUUAGCUAAUUAUCUGUGGAAAUGGGAUUUGUUGCAGGAACGGCAUUCAGCAUAGGAAGAACUCUUGGCAAGAUGGUGUUCUGGGAACCAACUGUCCUAUCCCCCCUGGGAAGAAUUACACAUAUAAAUUCCAGGUGAAGGAUCAGAUUGGCAGCUACAUCUACUAUCCGGUGACGGCUAUGCAUAAGGCGGUUGGUGGUUUCGGUGGCCUCCGUGUUAACAGCCGUCUACUCAUCCCUGUUCCCUACGCUGAUCCGGCUGAUGACUAUACUCUCUUAGUGGGAGACUUUUUCAACAAGGGACACACCAGCCUCAAGAAGAUUCUUGAUAGUGGUCGCAACCUUGGGAGAUGCGACGGUGUCCACCUUAAUGGAAAAGUUGCGAAAGGUGAUGGGCAGGAUGAACCUCUGUUUACGAUGGAGGCAGGCAAAACGUACAAGUACAGGAUUUGCAAUACGGGUAUCAAGACAUCUCUGAACGUCAGGUUCCAAGGCCACACCAUGAAAUUGGUUGAGAUGGAGGGUUCCCACACAAUGCAGAAUGACUAUGACUCCCUUGAUGUGCAUGUUGGACAGUGCUUCAGUGUGCUUGUUACUUCCAACCAGGAACCAAGGGAUUACUAUGUGGUGGCCUCUACCCGUUUUACCAGACGUGAGGUUACAGCAACUGGCAUCAUCGGUUACAAGAAUGGCAAGGGAGCUGCCUCAUCCGAGUUGCCACCACCACCUGUUGGUUGGGCUUGGUCACUCAAUCAAUUCCGUACCUUCCGUUGGAACUUGACUUCUAACGCUGCUAGGCCUAACCCUCAGGGCUCCUACAAAUAUGGUUCCAUUAACAUUACCCGUACCAUCAGGCUUGCCAACACUGCACAAAGAGUAGAUGGCAAGCUCCGAUAUGCUCUUAAUGGAGUCUCCUAUGUCGAACCAACCACUCCACUAAAACUUGCAGAAUACUAUGGCGUAGCCGAAAAGGUUUUCAAGUAUGAUACCAUUCCCGAUGAGCCUCCAAGUGACAACACUAAGGUAACUUUGGCACCUAUUGUCCUCAACAUGACACACAGAAACUUUGUGGAAAUCAUCUUCGAGAAUCACGAGACCGCCAUUCAAUCCUACCACUUGUCUGGCUACUCAUUCUUUGCUGUGGGGUAAGUAUAGCUUCUAACAUAACCAAUACAUGUGGUGAUUUGCUUGAGUUGAAGUAAUAAGUUGUAUAAUGAUUUGUCGCAGCAUGGACGUUGGGAAAUGGAGCCCCGAGAAGAGGAUGAACUACAAUCUUCUUGACGCCGUGAGCAGACAGACCAUACAGGUAUUCCCCAACUCCUGGUCAGCAAUCCUAUUGACAUUCGACAACUGCGGGAUGUGGAACCUGAGGUCGGAGAUAUGGGACAGGCAUUACCUUGGGCAACAGCUUUAUGCUAGUGUUAUUUCCCCUAACCGAUCCCUCAAGGAUGAGUACAACUUACCGGAAGGUGUAUUGACUUGCGGCAUCGUGCAAGGCAUGCCAAGGCCUCCACCUUUCAGCAGUUAAUUUAAAUAAGCUUAUAAAUCUGUAUCCAAUUCUGGUAUAAAUACAUAAUAUGGGGAGAGAGAGAGGGUGAGAAAAGCUUGAGUUCCAAAUGGAUUUAAUGAAAUAAAAUGUUUUGGACCAUUUGUUUAUAUUCAAAUCAUGCGCAAGCUUUCAACAAAUUCAUUGCUGCCAUGUUUUAAUUCUAAUUUCUAUGUUCAUUAUUAAAAUCAUAUAAUGCGUUAAUAAUAAAAACCACAUCACGAAAGCAAUGAAUAAAUGAAAUAGACGAAGCUUACUAAUUUAUCAGUAGAAACCAUUCCUUGUAUAAAUAUUUCUAAAAUAUAUAUUAAUAUAAACUUAUUAAUAUUGUCUACUGUAAAUUCCUUUUAUAAAGGGGAUGAAGAAUGUUACUAAUUGAAAAAUUGAUAUUAUUUUUACCGCAAUCAACAAGUAUUUUGGUUUAUAUUUUCGUCACACAUCUUACUUGUCACGGAUUUCCUUACUUUUUAACGGAGGACAUCCAUUUUCGAAUGCAACACAAAUUUCUUUGGAACUAGUUCUUUUUCAUAGUUUAAUUUCACUUGCUUUCGAGCUUCAAAAUGAUGAACAUAAAUGCAUUUUGACUUUUAAAACUAAAUUCAUGUCGGAUAACUUGACUAUGAAUGAUUCUAGCAUUUGAUAUCCUUUUGAGCUUAUUAAGUUUAUUUUUAUUUGAAUCGAAAUGAAUCAAUCGCUAUUAAAGAUAUUGUUACCUCACUGAUUCAACUUUUGGAUUCUUUUAAGUGAGAGAAACUCACCUCACGUUCAAAUUGUUACGGCAUUCAAAGGAGCAGUGGGUGCACUGGGUAACCAGUUGAAGGGGUAAUGAUCUCUCUUUUGCACCUGCACCUUUUAGUUAUCAAUCGAGAUAACUUGCAUGCAUGCAGAAAUUAUUAGGAUAGAUAUGUUACCAAUUUUGUACAAAUAGAUCUGUAUCCAUUGAUCAUGUCUUGCUGUGGUGCACAAUGGGGACAUGCUAUUUAGAGUGAUCUGUUGGAACCUGUGGAACAGCCGAAAUCAAGAAUUCCUUGUUGCUGACUUUGUCAAAAGUAAGGGUAUAUUAGAGGUGUAACCUCCCUAAUUCGGUCUAGAAAUUAUGGCCGGAUAUCUAAAGGCUACACUGUCCAUCGAAAUGGCUAAGGAAAACCGUUCAGUUUUAAAACUUCUACUUUGACUAUCUUUUUAGAAAACUUUUGUCUUAAUUCCUCAAAAACCAUCAAAUUAUUAAGUCGACUAAAUUUAGAGUUUAGGUUAUUAAAAGUAGUUUCAUUUAAGAAAAACUAAUUUGAUUUUUGUUUCGUCGAUUUGCCUUUCAAGAUUCUCUUCCUUGUUACACAGCGGAAAUAGUGGAACCAUCAAGUUCAAUCUAAACCAUCUUUCAUGCGAUUAUUAAGCAAAUUUUACAUUCAUGUUCAGUUUUAACCAACUUGCAUGCAUGUAGAAAUUCAAACAUAAAAACCCAUGCCACGGUCCAAAAUUACAGUCCCAAAUAGAAAAAAACCAUAUUAAAACUUGGGUUAAAUUUUGAAAAAAAAUACUGCAUUAAAUAAAAAUCGAGAUGAGACCUCUGAAUGUCGUGUUCAAUCCUAACAUUGAGAGUUAUUUGUAAGAAGUAAACUAAAGAAGUGAGCUUGAAAAGCUCAAUGUGAUUCUAAACAUAUGUAAACAAUGUAUAUGCGUACAAACAAUCAAUGAACCAUACAACCAUCAUUAUAACAGAACAUAUAGUAAAUCAUGGCAUCAAAACCCUUAGUAUUCCAAUAUUUUAUAUAUGUCAUGCUCAUGUGAAGCAGUACAAAAGUCUUAUCCAUCCAUCUGCUACACACGAGUUUCUUAGUAAUCGUUAUCUGAUUCACCAAAACAGUAGGAGUUGUAGCUCAAUGUAGAUGAACCACCAGUAACAAUAUGCAAUUAAACUACCAAUAAUUUGCAGACAAGCUACCAGUAAGUUGCGCACAAGCCCAAAACCCAAACCUAAUAUGAUUUAAAAUUGAAUUAAAAGCCCGAACGUUUAGAAAUUCUGCUCGUGUAGUCUUCACUAAAACGAUCAUAAGUUAAGCUCUUGAACUCAAAAUCGAGUGAUUCAAAAUGCGUUUCGAAGCUAAGAGAUACAUCUUAAAACGCCAUGAAGACAUCUCAACCCAGAAAUGCUAGGAUCCCAUCCAAAAAGUCAUUGUAAGUAUGCUGAUUUCCCAAGCCUAAAAAUUGGUAGUUUUGAUGAUUGGAAUUUAAUAAAUUUCACCCCAUUUGUGCAUGUAUCAGUAUGGCCUCAAACUUCACUGGAAAUCUGAGGAAUUUAGGUCUGGACUUUUGACAAAAAAAUUCACGAAAUUAGCACAUGAGAAAUGUAACACCCCUAACUCAUAUCCGUCACUGGAAUAAAGUUACGAGGCAUUACCAAUCAAUACACAACAUUUCACAUAAUAACACAUACAUUUAUGCAUUCAUAGUCAAAAUCCAUUCAACACAAUCAUAUUGUCCCUUAUUAGGGCUUACAAGGCCUUAAAACAUGCUUUGAGAUACUUAUAAAAUUUUCAUGCAAUAGGGAUCACACGCCCGUGUGAACAGACCGUGUGCGUCACACUGCUACCAGACACGCUUGUGUCAUAAGCCCGUAUGCCAUAGCUGCGUGAAAACUGGAGGGUAUACUGACUUGGGUAACACGGCCAGUCACAUGCCCAUGCGCCAGCCUAUGGCACACGCCUGUGUGUUUAAGCCGUGUAACUCACUGAUUUGUUUUAACAAGUUAUAAUAGGCACAUGGUUGAGUCACACACCCCUGUGCUCAACCGUGUGGAACGAAAUUAGGCUUGGUUUAAGCCACAUUUCUCACCCUCCUCAAGCAUACCUAAACCACAUCAAUUUUCACCUUUCCAUACAUUCAAAGGCAGCCAAAGUAUGCCAUUACAUACACAUAUCAUGCUAUUUAUAACCAUCUUUUCAACUACUCAAAAUCCAUAACCAAAAACAUACCAAGACAAUAUGCCAAUACCAACCAAUUCACCUAUCUUCUCUAUACAUUUUCUCAACAUUUUAUCAUCUAUUUCAUGCCUCAAAACAUACCAUUUCAUUAUCUCAAAAUCAAGCCACAACAUGUCAUCUUCCAAGCAAUAAUACUCUAACUUACAACUAUCCAAUAGAGCAACCAUAUAACCAUACCAAACAUGCCAAAACAUAAGGCAAUAUAUACAUCACAUAUUACUUACCAAACACAUGAUUCAAGCCAACUUAAAUGGCCGUAUACACACCAACAUUAACAUUAUUUGCAAGCCAAAUCUUAUAGCUAAUAUCAAUGCUCAAAACAUAACAUCAACUCACUAGCCUAUACAUGCCAUAUACCAUAUUUACUAAGCAUCAAAAGUACCAACAAGUAGUCGGUAGUGUGAAGACGGUUCCUGAUGAUCCCUGAGUCCGAGUUAGCUUCGAUAAUCUAUAAAACAGGGAAAGAACACACAAAGUAAGGUUUAAAAGCUUAGUAAGCCAUAUACAAAUAAAUUUACAUCAUGAAUCAACAUCAUUUCCAUCAAAUAAGCAAAUUAUGAAUAAGCACAUAUAGAUACACAAACCUUCUCAUUGAAUACCUAUUCAAAUUCACAUGUAAUUCAUCAAAUACUUCUCUUUUUAAUACUCGUAUGAAUCUCGUACGUACCUGUAUCACUUAAUUCAAUCCCAUAUUCUUUUUCGUCUUGACUUUGCCCAUUAAACCUUUCGAAAUUGACAAGGAUACUCGAAAAUCACAUAUAGCUCGUACAAUGCCAUAUCCCAGAUAUGGUCUUACAUGUUAUCUCAUAUCGAUGCCAAUAGCCCAGCUAUGGUCUUACACAAAAUCACAUAACGAUGCCAAUGUCCCAGACAUGGUCUUACACAUAAUCACAAUACAAUGCCAAUGUCCCAGAGAUGGUCUUGCAUGGAAUCUCAUCUCGGUAAUCCUAAUGUCAUGACAUUUGUAUCCUAUACUAUUCCUAAGGUUUGUACGAGACUUUCGGAUAUCAUAACUCUGUCAAUUCUUGUUCGUGUUGCUCGUCCAACAUUCAUAGCAGUUAAUUGAAAAAUAAACAUAUAUAAUUUAAUUUAACGGUAUUAAUUUGUAUAUAAACUUACCUCGUAGUUGGAAUAGAGGGGCUGGAUCGACUAUUCAAUAACCUUUUAUUUUCCUCAAUCUAAAUUUGAUUUCUUUCUUUCUUGAUCUAUAUACAUUCAAAAUUAACUCAUUUAUUCAUCAAAUCAUUCAAUUUAGUCAACUAAUACAUAUUUUGACAUUUUUACACUUUAGCCCUUAAAGUUCUACAUUUUUAUAAUUUAAUCCUUAAUUCACAAAUACACAAAAUUCAUACAAUUUCAUUACACCCAAGCCUAGCCGAAUUUCAUAUAAGUCCCUAGCACCCAAAACUUUCAUUUAUUUCAUAUUUUAACCCCUCAAUUUACACUUUUCACAAUUUAAUCCCAUUUAAGCAAUUUCAUCAAAAAUCACUUUACAAAACAUUAAAAUCUAUCAAAAAAUAUUCAUUUUUCAUCAUCAAACAUUCAAAAGCUCAAGCAUUUUCAAUGGAAUUUCACAAAAUCAUCAACAAUUUCAAAAAUUAAGGGAUGGGCUAGCUAGAACAUGAAGUAACGAUCACAAAAACGUAAAAAUCAUAAAAACCGAGCUAAAACAUACCAAAUCAAGCUUGCAAGUGCCGAAUGCUUAAAACCUAGUUUGGCUUCUUUUCUUCCCUAAUUUUUGGCUAGAAAUGGUGAAGAUGAUAACAAUUUUCAUUUUUUUUUAUUAAUGUUAACAUUAAUUAACAAAUACCAAAAUUACCUUUAAUUAAAAACCAUUUAAAACACUCAUUUACUGCCCAUUUAUGUCAAAUUCCACUAAAAAUGGUUUAAUAUCAUCAUAAGGACCUUUCAUGUAAUAAAUCAUAGCAAUUAGGCACCUUUAUCAAAUAUAAUGCAACUUUUGCAUUUUACGCGAUUUAGUCUUUUUCUCAAAUUAAGCUUUUAAUCGCUAAAAUUAUUUCAUGAAACUUUCACACAUAUAUAAUCACAUGCGAUAAACACUAAAAAUAAUAUUAAAAUAAUUUUAUGACCUCGAAUUUGUGGUUCCAAAACCACUAUUUUGAUUAAGCUAAAACUAGGUUGUUCCUAAGAAAUUUGACUAUAGACCCUGUAGUAUUCGACCAUCAUAGGAAAAGAAAGGGAAAAAAGGAAAAAAAAUGAGAUCAAAUAUGAUCUAGACAACUUACACUUCCCAAUUUUCAGAUCCAAGAUAAUGAAUCAACAGAAAAUGAUUAAACACCACAAUAUACCAAGACAGGAGACUGUUUUCAGAAACAAAAUGAAGGAAAAAGAGAGGAAAUAGGUGCGAAAAUGGUAGAAAAUCAGCAGUAAAGUUCAGCCAUAACAAAGAAGUGAAGAGAUGAAUGAAAAUUAAAAGAAAAUGAGAGGAGAAGAUGAUCAAAGGGAGUGCUAUGGCCAUAAGUGGAGGAGGAAAUGAAAAAAAAGACGAUACAAAAAUGCAAAAAUUAGGGUUUUAAGGGUGACAAGACAAGGAUGAAGAAGAAAAAUUGAAGAAUGAGAGGAAGAGAGGAGGGUGAGACGGCAACGAGAAGAGAAAAAAAAUUAUCCAAAAGAGAUUGAACAGAAAAUAAAAUACUAUAAAUAAAAAUUGUACUAGGGGAAAGAAUCAAACUCAGGUUUCAAUGACAAUUUCACUAACACUUCAAUUCGUACAAAAAAAUAUCAAUAAAAUCGAGGAAUGACAAGAGACAAGCAAGAAUAAAAAAGAUGCUAGUGUUUUGUAACAACCUGGGAGCUCUAAAAAAGAACGGAAUAUUAAGUAUUGUUGCCUACAGCCUCCUGUGGAGGGUUGGAUAAAAUUAAAUAUGGAUGGGGAAGUUUGCUUAGUUGAUGAUAUGGCUACUACAGAAGGUGUUAUGCGUGACCAUACUCAAGGUUUCAUUUGUAGUCUUGCAACGUUGCUCUACUUUUGGACUUGGAGUUACAGGUGCCUUAAAGGGGCCACCAAUGGCCUUGGACAAAGGGCUAUAGAAAGGUGAUUUUAGAACUUGAUAAGUUAUUGUUAGUUAACAUGUCAAAUAGAAAGGUUGAGUGUGCUAAUAAUUCAUUGUUAUAGAAAGUGCAAACCUUGCUAGCUAGGGAUUGACAGAUCGAGGUGUAGCAUCUUUAUCAGGAAAGGAGCGAAAACGAGACUUGGUGUGCCGUUAGGGUUUAUCUGCUGGGUUUCUUACACAGGAAGAAAAACAGAACUAAGUCAUCUGGAUAAAAUAUGAACUCUUGUUGAAGCUAGAGCAACAAAGCAAUAAUUCCGGAUAAAAUAUGAAAUAAGUUUGAGAUUCAAAGAAAUUAGAGUUGCAAGGAAAGCAACCAAAAACAAACAGAAGUAAAAGGGAUGAGAUGUAACGCCCGCUUACCCAAGACCGUCGCCGGAGUCGAGCACGAGGCAUUACUAAACUUAUUUGAGCACUUAAACAAAUUCGGACAAGCUGUACAACUGCGUCAUAAUUGCUUAAAAAUUCAUAUCUCUAGUUCCGUAACUCAAAAUCAAAUUCCAUAAAUUUUUUCUUAAACUAGACUCAUAUAUCUAUCUACUAAUUUUUUUUUAGAAUUUUUGGUUAGGCCAAUUAGUACAGUUUAUUAGUUAAAGUCUCCCCUAUUUUAGGGUUUGACUGCUCUGACUUAUGUGUAUUACGAAUCAGAUAUCUCCCUGUACAGAGUUUCAAUGACUAUGCCGUUUGUUUCUAAUAAAACUAGACUCAAUAAGGAAUCUGUACAUAUAAAGCAUGACUUCUAAUUAUAUUUGUACAAUUUAUGGUGAAUUUCAAAAGUCAGAACAGGGGAUCCAGAAAUCGCUCUGGCCCUGUUUCACAAAAAUUUAAACUUCUCAUAAAAUAUAACUCAUAUACCUGUUUUGUUCCAUCCAUAUGAAAAUAGACUCAUAAUUCUUCAAUUCUAUAUUUUAUUCAUCAUCUAAUUGUAUCUCUACUAUUUUUAAUAGUUUUUCAAACUCACAUCACUGCUGCUGUCUGAAUCUAUUUUAUGGUAAAUUUUGUCUAUUUCAUGGUUUCCAUGGAUUAGCUAGCAAUUUAGCAUACAUAACACCAAAUAUGAUCAUGAUUAGCCAUUCCAAUGGCUAAUCAUUACCAAGCAUUUUCAUACCACUGAAUAUCCAUAUCAUAAGACCAUAUAUACAAAAUGAUUAUAAUGCUAUACAUGCCAUACUCAAAAUAUACAAGCCAUUAUGCCAAGAUGGUAUACGGAUAGUGUGAGUGGGCCUUCGACCAUUCCUGAUUUCUGAGCUGGCUUGUCAAAACUACAAUGAAUGAAAAUAAGGGAGUAAGCAUAAAUGCUUAGUAAGUCCAUAUGAAAUUAAUAAGCAAUUACCAACAUGCUUUUAAGAUAAAACACCACAAUUGUACAAUUAUACAUACUCAGCUUAAAUUGUUUUAUCGAGAUACAUUUACUAAAUAAUUUAUUUCUGAAGCUAUGAAACUCCAAAUUAAGUUCCGUUAAUUUUCCGUUAAUUUCUGGAGCUACUAAAGAAUUUUUGGUUUAGCCAUUUAGUACAGUUUAUUCAUUAAAGUUUCCCCUGUUUUGCUGUCCUACAGUUCUGAUCUCUCUUCACUAAAAAUUAUUUAUCUCAUAAUUCGGGACUUGGAUGAUGUUCCCGUCUAUCCCUCUUGAAAAUAGACUCGAUAAGGAUUUUAAAUAAAUAAAUUAAAACUCAUAAUUAUUUUUGUACAAUUUCUAAUGAUUUUCUAAAAUUAGAACAGGGGAUCUCGAAGUCAUUCAAACUCUGUCUCACAACAAUUUAAAUAUAUUAUAACAUAAAAUCCAAUUGCAUGCACCGUUUCCUCUAUAUGAAACUAGACUCAUCAGGCUUUAAUCUCAUAUUUUAUUCAGCCCUUAACUUAAUUUCCACAAUUUAUGGUAAAUUUCAAAAGAUACACUACUGCAGUAACCUAAAACUGUCAAGGCCAUAUUUAUUCAUUCACCACUACUAUUCACUAAAUCCAUACAAUAUCAUUUCAUCCAUCAUGGUAAGAACACAUAAUUAUGCUUCAUAAGCAUAGAUCCAUAAUCUCAAUGUCAUCAAGUACCAAGAACUUAUUCCAAAUCGUGUCAUUUUCAUAGUAUUCACCAAUUCUUAAUCUUUUCGGGACAUUUUACAUUUUCGUUCAUAAUCAAAUUAGGGAACGAUUACGGAAUUGAGUACCUCAUUAUCACAAUGCCAUAGUAAAACUAUGGUCUUACACAUAGUCACAUAUCACAUACCGAGGCCAUAGCCCAGCCAUGGUCUUACACGGAUCACAUAUCACACUGAUGCCAUAUCCCAGAUAUGGUCUUAUACAAUAGCACAUAUCACACCGAUGCCAUAUCCCGGAUAUGGUCUUAUACGGAAGCACAUAUCACAUUUCUCCGAAGCCAUAGCCCAGCUAUGGUCUUAUACGGAAAUCACAUUUCACAUGCUGCCAUGGUCCAACCAUGGUCUUUUCCGUCAAUUCGUCUUAGCCACUGAAUGAAAGUACUCAAGUCCGUUGUUCCAUUUAAUUUGUACUUUUAUUCAAAUAUCAUUUUACAAUUAUCGCAGUUUAAUGACAUUUUAUAUGCAAUAAUAUACUAUAUCAUUCAUGAAAUUUUCAUUUCAAAACAUUAAAUUACACAUUGUAUUAUUAAAAAUCAUAUGAACUUACCUCGAUAUAAAAUAUUAGCAAUCGAGCCUAUUCCUCGUAAACUUUAUUUUUCCCUCGAUCAUGACUUGAAUCUCGUUUCUCUUGAUCUAUAAUAUAAAUUAUUUCUACUCAUUAACAUUUAUUUGAUUUCUAUUUCACUUCACAAUUUAUGCUGUUCAAAUUUAAAAAUUGCAAUUUUACCCCAAAAUUUAUAGUUUUUACAAUUUAGUCCCUGCUCAAUUCACCCAUCAAUUGAACUAAAUUUUUUUCUCAAUUAACACUUUUAUUUUAUCAUUAUAAACUAAUUCAAAACCUUUGAUAUUCUGAAUUUCAACACCAACAUCUAAUUCACAACUUUUUCACAAUUAGGUCCUAAAUACCAUUUUCUAUCAAAAUGACUUAAUAAAACAACCUUAAUAUGAAAUUAGAACUUAAAUUUCAUAAUAAUUCAUCAUAUACUGCCCUUAAUCAGCCAGGGUAACUUCCAAUUUCACCCACCAAAUCAAAAACUAAUGAAUUAGAUGAUUGGACCUAAUUGUAAAAGUCACAAAAACAUAAAAAUUACUAAGAAAUAGUAAAAAUUGAACUUACAUGGUGCAAAAAUAUGAAAAACCAGCAUAGGAGACCUGCUACGGCGUUUCUGGCUGAGAAAGAUGAAGAAAUGUCUAGAUUUUUCAAUUACAUCAUUAUUUAAUUACUAACUUUUAUCCUAUUUCCAAUUUUGCCCCUUGCUCACAUUGUUUUCUUGCUUAUUUCAUACCCAAACCGUCCAGCCAUUAACCUUUGGGUCUAAUUGGUCUUUAAAUCCAUAUUUUUAAAUACUUAAGCUAUUCAAUCACAUCUCACAAUUUUGCACUUAGUUUAAUUUAGUCCUUUUCACCUAAUUAACUACCGAAAUCUUAAAAUUUCUUGACGAAACUUUAAUACUAACCUAUUUACACUCCAUAAAUAUUUUUAAAAAUAUUUAUGGCUCGAAUUAUGCAUUCAAGGUCUUGAUACCUCGUUUUAGACCCAAUUUACUUAUUAAAUUCUUUUCUCUCUUUUUUUUAACACAAAAUUCACUAAUUCAAAAUUCUUCUAAAUUCACACUUGACUCAUAAUUAUUAAUUUAUUAAAUUUUCAAACAUACUUGUCGGAUUUAGUGAUCUCAAAUCACUGUUCCGAUAUCACUGAAAUUUGGGCCGUUACAUGAGAAAACUGAGAGAACAAUAAUUGGUUAUUCUCAUUACCUUAAUUUCAUCAAAUCUAUGAUGUACAUAUAUAAAACUACAACAAUAUUUUUAACUUGUAGAAGUGAACAAACAUUAAAUACAUCCUAAUGAUAACCUAGGACCUGUCUAAAACUGGAAAGUACUUGACCAACUUUAUCCAGUCAAAAAGUUUUCUGUCAAAUCAUAUACAGGUCGUCUAUUACAAAAACAUACUUCAUCCGGAUAACAUACGUACAUUUGUAGUUGCUGUAUCUCAUCCAGAUAACAUACAGACUACUGUUUGUUGCCACAUUUAACACUCCUCAUUGGCUACAAAGCAGCAGACUCAAAUUUGCUUCUUUAAAUACUUGAACCUGGUGGCAGCUAACGACUUGGUCAAAAUAUCUGCCAAUUGGACUUCUGAGCAGCAAUGGACCAAGUUGAUCUCCUUUGACAACUCUGCCUCCCUCAAAAAAUGGUAUUUGAUCUUGAAAUGUAACGGCCCAAAUUUCAGUGAUAUCGGAACAGUGAUUUGAAAUCACUAAAUCCGACAUGUGAGCUUAGAUAUUAGUAAGUAAAUGUUAAGUGUGGUUUUAGAAUUAAUUUUGAAUUAGUGAAAUUAUGUAGUAUAGGAAGUUGUAGAUAAAACAGAAUAAAAACGAGGUAUCGAAACCUCGAAUUCAUAAACCGAGCCAUAAAUAUUUUUAGAAAUAUUUAUGGAGUGUAAAUAAGUUAGUAUUAAAGUUUCGUCAAGAAAUUUUAAGGUUUCGGUAGUUAAUUAGGUGAAAAGGACUAAAUUGAACUAAGUGUAAAAUUGUGAGAUGUGAUUAAAUAGCUCUAGUAAUAAUUAAAGGAGGACUAAAUAGGCAAUUAGACACCUAUUAUUGGGCUGGACGGCAUGUGUGUGCAGGAAAAUUAAAAAUCAAGUGUGAACAAGGGGCAAAAUUGGAAAUAGGGUAAUAAUUUAAUUGUAAAAUAUGAUAUAUUAGGUAAAAUCUAGAGUUUUCUUCAUUUUUCUUCAUUUUUCUUCAUCUUCAUCAGCUAAAAACACCAUUAGAGAGCUUUUAAGAAGCUGGUUUUUAUAUUCUACAGCAUGUAAGUUCAACUUUUGAUUAUUUCUUGUAAUUUUGUGUUUUUGAGACUUUUACAACUAGGUCCAUAUGUUUAAUUCAUUAGUUUUUGAUUAUAUGGAUAAUUUUGAAAGUUUCCAUGAACAAGUGCUGAAAUUUUAUGAUGAUUUAUCAUGGAAUUGAGGUUUUAAUUUUAUUAUAUGAUGAUUUUAUAAAGAGAUUUUUAUAGAAAUCAUUAUUUAGGACCUAAUUGUGAAAGUUCUGAAAUUAGGGUUUUGUGAUGAAACUUUGAAUGUCAAAGGCUGUGAAAUAGUUUAUAAUGUUUAAAUAAAGUGUUUUUUGAGAAUAAUUAGUUCAAUUGAUGAAUAAAUUAAGCAGGGACUAAAUUGUAAAAAUUUGAAAAGUUUGGGGUAAUAGUGUAAUUUCAAAAAUUUAAGGGCAUAAAUUAUGAAAUAGAAUAGAAUUUUAAUGGAUGCUAAUGAAGGAAUUAUUUUAUAAUUAUAGAUCAAGAAAACGAAGUGAAUCGUAGAAAGGAGAAAAUUCAAGAAUAGUUCUUGAAUUUCUAUGACUUUUGCAAAUUAGCCUAGGUAAGUUCAUAUGGCAAAAUUUAAUGUUUUGUUAUGAAGAUAUUAUGAUUUUUAAGUAUAUUAUUGUAGAUGAAUACUAUCAAUUUGUAAUAAGUAUGAAAUAAUAGUUAAAUAAAAGUACACAUUAGUUGGAACAAUGGAUUUGAGUGCUUUCAUUUUGUGACCAUGGUGAAUUGACGGAAAGAUGUGAUAAGUGCGCCCGUUUAAGACCAAAGCUGGGCUAUGGCAUCGGUGCAAUGUGAUAUGUGUUCCCGUAUAAGACCAUAGCUGGGCUAUGGCAUCGGUGUGACAUGAUGAUGUGAUUCCGUAUAAGACCAUAUUUGGGAUAUAGCAUUGGCAUGUGAUGUGAUCCGUGUAAGACCAUAGCAGGACUAUGGCUUCGGUGUGUGAUAUGUGACAAUGUGCAAGUCCAUAGUUUCCUAUGGCAAUGUGAUAAUGAAGCACUCAAUUCCAUUAGUGUUCCAUAAUUUGUCAAUGGAAAUAAAUGAGAAAAAGGGGCCCAAGGAAGUUAAAUUUGUAAAUAGGAAUAUGAAAAUUAUUCAAAGGAGCUUAAUAACGGAUUUGUGAUUUACAGGGUAAAGUAGUUAAAUUAAAAGAUAUAUGAUUGUGUACAAUGUUCGGUAAGAUUUGUGUUUUUAUGCCUAUGAGCUUACUAAGCUUCAAUAAGCUUACUUGUGUGUGUUUGAUAUUUUUUUAUGUAGAUUGAAUUAAAGUGAAGUUGGUAGAUUGGAUCAACACAACAAGGCACACUAUCCAGAUCAAUUCCGGUAGUUUUGUUUUAUGUUUAAAUAUUUAUAUGGCAUAGAGUUUAAAUGAAUUGAAGUAAAGAUGUUAUAAACUAGUUAACAAUAUUUUGUACUAAAACAGUUUUUGGUUAGUAGCAGUAGUUUGACUUUGAAAAUUCACUAUAAAUUAUGAAAAUCUAAUUAGAGGUUGAAUAAAAUAUUAAAUUAAAUCUUAUUAAGUCUAGUUUCUUAUAAAAUAAAUUAUGUAAGAAAUUGAAUUGUAAAUCGUGAGAUAUAAUAACUUUUGUGAGAUAAGGUCAGAGUGAUUUCGAGCUCUCCUGUUCUGAUUUGUAAAAAUCAUUAAAAAUUUUACAAAAAUAAUUAGGAGUCAUACUGUAUAUGUUUGGAUUCCUUAUUAGGUCUAUUUUUAAGAGAAAUAAACAGCAUGGUUAUUUGAAUUCUGUACAAGGAGAAAUUUGGUUCAUAGUUCACAGGGCUCAGAGUAGCCGAACCCUGAAAUAUGGGAGAUUUUAACUAAUAAACUGUACUAAUUGGCCCAACCAAAAAUUCUAUAAAAAAAUUAGUAAGUAGAUAUAUGAGUCUAGAUUCGGAGAAAAUUUACAUAUUUGGAUUUCGAGUUUCGUAACUUGAGAUAUGAUUUUUUUAGCAACUAUGACGCAAUUGGACAACUUGUCUGGAAAGUAUGAUAUAAAUUGUCUGAAUUUGGUUAAGUGCUCAAAUAAGUGUAGUAGUACCUUGUGCUUGACUCCGGCGACGGUCUCGGGUAAGGGGAGUUACAUGAAAUGCUUAGUUUUUCCAUGAAACACAGGGUUCUUGGCAAUUGCAACAGCUGACUGAUUGUCAACUUUGAUCUCUGUUGCUUUAGCUUGACGAGCAUUCAAGUCCUCCAACAGCUUUCUAAGCCAAAUUGCUUGAUUAAUAGCCCCAGCAGCUGCAAUAUACUCUGCUUCAGCUGUUGAUUGAGCAACAGUUUGUUGCUUCUUUGAGCUCCAGCUAAAAACUCCUAAUCCUAGAGUGAAGAAGUAUCCCGAUGUACUCUUCAUAUCAUCAACCGAGCCAGCCCAAUCACUGUCUGAAUAACAGACCAGCUUCAGUUCUUCAGCUCUCUCAAACUUCACACCCUGGCCUAAGGUGCCUUUGACAUACCUUAGGACUCUUUUAGCAGUUUUAAAAUGUGCAACAUUGCAGCAGUGCAUGAAUCUCAAUAGAAGACUAACAACAUACAAGAUGUCUGGCCUUGUUGCUGUCAAGUAGAGUAGGCAACCAACCAAACUCCUAUACUCCUUUUCAUCUAUUCGAUCAUGCUCAUUGAUGCUUGAGAGUUUCUCUCCUAAUGCAACAGGAGUGCUAACAGGCUUGCACUUUGACAUGCUGAAUUUACUUAAAACUUUCUGUGCAAAUGCUUGCUGGCUUAUGAAAAUGCCAUGCUCAUUCUGAUUAACUUUCAUACCAAGGAAGUAGGUCAUCAAACCUAAAUCAGUCAUCUCGAGCACAUCUAACAUUUGUUUCUUGAAAUCUUCAAUCAGCUCACCCUUGCAACCAAUAACUAAUAAUCCACAUAAAGUGAGACUAUCAACAAGGUUUCUUUCUCAGCCUUCUUCACAUAGAGUGUAGGCUCACUUAUGCUCUUCUCAAACCCAAGCUUCGACAGGUAUGCAUCAAUCCUAUCAUACCAGCCCCUUGGAGCCUGUUUUAGGCCAUACAAUGCCUUUUUGAGCUUGUAAACCUUGUCUUCCUCACCAGGGACCUUGAAACCCUCAGACUGUUCUAUGAUGAUUUCUUUCUUGAGAAAUCCAUUCAGAAAUGCUGACUUUACAUCCAAUUGAUGCACUUUCCACUGUUUUUGAGCAGCUAAGGCAAACAAUAACCUUAUGGUGUCUAACCUUGCAACAGGUGCAAAGGUUUCAAAAUAAUCAACACAUUGCUGCUGAUUAUACCUCUUCACAACUAGUCUGGCUUUAUGCUUGUUCAGAGAUCCAUCUGCAUUGUUCUUGGUUUUGAACACCCAUUUGACACCUAUAAUCUUCCUGUUUACCGGUCUAUUAACCAGCUCUCAUGUGUCAUUUUUAUGGAUCAUCUUCAUUUCAGCUUCCAUAGCCUUCUUCCAGCAUUCUUCUUUAGCAGCCUAUUCAAAUUUUGAAGGUUCAACUAUUGCAACAUUACAUCUUUGAUAGAUGUCUGCAAUAGUCAUUGUCCCUCUCAUAGGUGCUUCAUCAAAAUUAUCAUCAACUGGCCCUUUUUCAGCUAACUCCAAACCGCUGUCCUGCUGAUCUUCAUCAGUCAACCUUGCAUCAGCAUCAUUCCAGCUCCAUAGUCUACCUUCAUCAAACCUCACAUCCCUACUUACUAAUAUUUUCUUUGUUGAGGGAUCAUACACCCAGUAGCCCUUAUUAGUGUUUCUGUUGCCAAUAAAUAUUCCUGGAGCAGCCCUUCUCUCGAGCUUGGUUCUCCUCUCAACUAGAAUAAGGGCAUAGCAAACACAGCCAAACACUGUUAGGUGUGAAAUAGAAGGUUUGAUUCCAUGCCAGGCUUCAAAAGGAGUCUUUUCCUUGACAGCAACGGUUGGCAACUUGUUGAGUAGGUACACUGAGGUAUUGACAGCCUCAACCCAAAACUUGUUUGGCAGCUUGCUCUCAAACAGCAAACAUCUAGCCAUGUCAAGUACUGUUCGAUUCUUCCUCUCACAUACUCCAUUUUGCUGAGGAGUAUAGAUUGUUGUUAGCUGAUGAUGAAUCCCAGCUUGUUCACACAACUUUUGGAACCUUUCAGACAGAUACUCAGUACCAUUAUUUGUUCUCAAAGCCUUAAUCUUGCAACCAGACUGAUUUUCAGCCAAUGCCUUAAAUUUGUUGAAGGCUUCAAACACUUCAGAUUUCUGCUUCAAGAAAUAAACUCAGCAAAACCUAGUUAGAUCAUCUAUAAACAGCACAAAGUACUUACUGUCAAUUGAAGAAGAGGUCUCCAUUGGUCCACAGAUAUCAGAAUGGACAAACUCAAGUCUUUCUCAAGCCCUCCAUGCCACAUUAGCAGGAAAAGGCAACCUGGUUUGCUUACCAAGCUUGCAAACCUUACAGAUAGUGUCUUUGGCUUCAACUUUUGACAUGUCUUCAACCAAGUUCAACUUAUGCAACUGAUCAAGUGACUUGUAAUUCACAUGUCCAAAUUUCUUGUGCCAUAGACUAGCAUCAUCAACAAAGCUGGUGUAAGCCUUCUUCUCAAGUCCAUUGACAUUAAGCAUAAAACACCUAUCUAUCAUUGCUACUAUGGCCAACUCCUGACCAUAAGAGUCUUCAACAAUGCAUGAGCCAUUCUUAAAAGCGAGUGAGUAACCUUUUUCUACAAGCUGACCAACACUAAGUAGAUUCUGAUCUAUGUCAGGCACAAAAAGUACAUCAGAAAUCACUUUGUUACCUGACUUUGUGUUGAUCACCACAUUGCCUUUGCCUUUGGCUUCAAUCAGGUUCCCAUUGCCAAUCCUAAUCUUUGAGGCAAAACUUCUGUCGAACUCUUUGAACAACCUUUCAUCAGCUGCCAUGUGGUGUGUGUAGCCACUAUCCACUAGCCAGUCACAACUGACCUUGCUCGAGGUUGCAAAAUAGGAGGCUGUAAAAACAUGCUCCUCCUGAGUUUGAAGAUCCUCAGUAGCCUUGGCUUGCAUUUGUUGCUGAGCUUGUGCCUUCACUUUAUUUUUGCACACCCUCUCAAUAUGUCCCAGCUGUUUACAGCUCCUGCAUUGAACAUCUGGUCUGUACCAGCAGUUCUUCUCCAAGUGUGAAGUCUUCUUGCAGUGAAUGCAUGGUGGAAAUCUAUUCGUCCCUACAUCUCUCAUUGAUUUCUCCCUUCUAUCGACCCAAGGUUUCUUCCCCUUUUGACUAGAACCUGAGCCUUCCUUGGCCUUUGUUUGGAAAGCUCCUUCAAGAUGCUCUUCUUGCCUGUUGGCCCUCUCAGACAAUGAGAUGGUUGAUAAAUCCCUCGAGUCCUCUAAUGAAUAAAUCUUUGACUCAAACUUCUCUGGGAGAGUUGUAAUGACAUUUUCAACAACUCUCCUCUCGUAGAAAUUAUCACCAAGGAGCCUAAUGUUGUUGACUAUGGCCAUUAUUCUGUCAGAGUACUGCUUAAUGGUCUCUGACUCUCUCAUCUUCAGAUUCUCAAAAUCCCUUCUAAGGUUGAUCAGCUAUUGUUGUCUUGUUUUCUCUGACCCCAUAACUCCUCAUUUUGUGACAGCCCUAAUUUGACCCCUAUCGGAAAGUGGUUUCGGGACCACAAAAUCGAGUCAUAAAAAUAAUUAGAUGUUAUAUUCUGUGCUUAUUAUAUGUGAAGGUGCAUGUGUGAAAAUUUCAUGCUUUAAUACUGUCAUUUGUGAGUGAAAUUAUUAAAUAGGACUUAUGUGAAAAUUUGUGAAAAUAAGAUAGGUUAUUUUUGUAGUGGCCAAAUAAUUAAUGGUGUAAAUAAGUGGAUUUGCAUGUCAAAUUUCCCACUUUAGUUGUAGUGGCCGGCCAUGAUAAUGAUGAUAAGCAAAAUAUGUAUUAUAUAAUAAUAUUAUACUAGUAAUGACUUAAUUUAUGAAAUAAAAAUUAAGUAAAAUAAGAAAAGAUAAUAGAAAAACAAAAGAAAAAAAAAUGUUUGUUUCAUUUUCUUCCUUAAUAGCCGAACCUUAAAGAAGAAAAGAGGAAAUAGCAUUCGGUCACUUUGAGCUUGAAUUAAGCUCAAGAGCAUAGAAGGGCAAAUUCGGAUAAGGGAAAAGAGAAAGUAGUUGAAUAGCCGAUCUGAGACUGUUUGAAAAUAUUCGAGGUAAGUUUUAAGUAGUUAAAUAUAUAUAAUAUUCAAAAAUGACAUGAUAGACUAUGAGAAUUAAGUGUUACUUAUCAUAUAUGUACAUGGCCGAAUGGCAAUUUGUAUUGAAAGUAAAAGGUGAUAUGUUUUCAUGAUCAAAUGAUAGUGUUAGAUGAAAAUGAGUAAGAUUUUACGUGUAAACUAUUAUGUAUUUAAAUGUUAGUGAUGAAAUGAGAUAAAAGUGAAUGAAAUGUAGGAUGAUAUAUUGAAUGAUGUUUGUACCUAAAUUGGUGUGAUUGUGUUAUAUAAAACUUGUUGAUUUGAAUAUUCUGCAGUACAAUUCGGGCCUUUGAGCCUAGCAGGCUAUAAUACCGGUGAGAUAUUAUUCGGGCCUUUGGGCCUAGCAGGCUAUAAUGCCGGUGAGAUAAUAUUCGGGCCUUUGAGUCUAGCAGGCUAUAAUGCCGGUGAGAUAUUAUUCGGGCCUCGAGCCUAGUAGGCGAAAUGCCGGUGAAUGAAUUCGGGUUUUUAAACCUAACAGGCUGAAUGCCGGUAAUUUGAUAAAAGUCUAAAACUAAGAUACCUCGUGUUAGAACGACGAACGAAUACAUUCAAUACGUUAAGUUGGCUAGGUACGUAUUAUGUAUUUAUAUGUGAGUAUGAUUUAAAUUAAAUCAUAAGAGUAUAAUUUGAUACAUAUGUGAAUACAUGAUAUAUUUAUAUCUAUGAUUAUGAUACAUUCGGUCAAGUGUGAAUGUAUGUGAAAAUGUUCGAUUUAUUUAUGCCAUAUGAAUUCAGAUUAAGUGUAAUUAGAAUGCUAAGUGUGCAUUAUAUGCUUGUGUAUAUUCGGCCAAUGGUAAUAAAUAUAUAGGAAAUGACCUUUUGAGAAAUUGGAUAAUUGACGUAUAAUUGAGUUUGUCUGUUGUAUUGCUUAAAACUUACUAAGCUUAUGAAAGCUUACUCCUUUUGUUAUAUUUCUCUGUUUUAUAGAUUGUUGAUUCCAGUUACCUGCUUGGAGAGGGGAUUGUCAGCAACUCGUCACACUAUCUGUCUUUUUGGUACUGCUAUAUUUUAGAACUAGUAUGGCAUGUAUAGAAUAGACUUAAGUGAAUGAUAUUUUGAAAUGUUGAUGUAUAUAAGCCAAGCGAAAAUGGCAUCUUUUGAAUGUUUGUAUAAAGUUUUUUUGAAUGCAUAUAAAAGUUAAUGUUCUAAUAUCAAUGUGAUUGUACAAAUGUGGUAUUUUGGGUUGGUAACACUUCAUAACCCAUUCCGGCGACGGAUACGGGUUAUAGAGGUGUUACGCCUUUAGCUUCUCUUAUGCUUGCUUUGGUGAAUCACAAGCCAUUAUUCUUGUGAAGAUCACAUCAGAGACCCCAUUUUGCAAGCAGGCCAUUGCUUUAUACUUCUUGGCACACUCUUCAAUGUGUUGCCUCAUCUAAGCAAUGGUUGGAUUGGCCCUCAAUGGAGGUGGUUUAGCAUCAUUCUCGAUCACACUCCACAAAUCAUGUGCUUGAAGGUAUGUCUUCAUUUUAACUACCCAAAUGUGGUAGUUUUCUCCAGCAAACACAUGUGGUGGUGGUGGUGUGAAACUCAUCUUUGCAGCAAACAAACAGACUAACAAAAAACAGCUUCUGCUUCUUUUCUCUCAAACACAACCAAGGUCUUCAAAGACUUACGCUCUUCAUACCAUUUGUUGGAUUUUUCACAUAGAAAGAAAAAUAGAACUAAGUCAUCCGGAUAAAAUAUGAAGCUCUUGUUAAAGCUAGAUCAACAAAGUAAUAAUUCCGGAUAAAAUAUGAAAUAAGUUUGAGAUUCAAAGAAAUGAGAGUUGCAAGGAAAGCAACCAAAAACAAAUAGAAGUAAAAGGGAUGAGAAAACUGAGAAAACAAUAAUUGGCUAUUCUCAUUACCUUAAUUUCAUCAAAUGUAUGAUGUACAUAUAUAAAACUACAACAAUAUUUUUAACUUGUAGAAGUGAACAAACAUUAAAUACAUCCUAAUUAUAACCUAGGACCUGUCUAAAACUGGAAAGUACUUGACCAACUUUAUCCAGUCAAAAAGUUUUCUGUCAAAUCAUAUACAGGUCGUCUGUUACAAAAACGUACUUCAUCCGGAUAACAUACGUACAUUUGUAGUUGCUGUAUUUCAUCCGGGUAACAUACAUACUACUGUUUUUGCCACCUUUAACAUUAUCUUUUAUAAUUAACUACCCUUUUGAUACAAUUUUGAGGCUCUUCGAUGAUGAUAUCAAUGAGUUAAGCCAUAGACGGGUUAUUUAUAUGUAAUCAAUUUUUAGUUCCUACAAAUAAAAAAUUUACACUAUCCAUAACUAAAAUCAUUGGGAUGAUUUCCUGAUUAGGGAGGUUACACCUCUAAUAUACCCUUACUUUUGACAAUGUCAGCAACAAAGAGUUCCUGAUUUUAACAGUUCCAUAGGUUCCAAUAAAUCACCCUAAAUAGCAUGACCCCACUGGGAACCACCGCAAGACAUGAUCAAUGGAUACAGAUCUAUUUGUACAAAAUUGGUAACAUAUCUAUCCUAAUAAUUUCUGCAUGCAUGCAAGUUAUCUUGAUUGAUAACUAAAAGGUGCAGGUGCAAAAGAGAGAUUACCCCUUCAACUGGUUACCCAGUGCACCCACUGCUCCUUUGAAUGCCGGUAACAAUUUGAACGUGAGGUGAGUUUCUCUCACGUAUAAGAAUCCAAAAGUUGAAUCAGUGAGGUAACAAUAUCCUUAAUAGCGAUUGAUUGAUUUCGAUUCAAAAAUAAAUCAACUUAAUAAGCUCAAAAGGAUAUCAAAUGCUAGAAUCAUUCAUAGUCAAGUUAUCCGACAUGAAUUUAGUUUUAAAAGUCAAAAUGCAUUUAUGUUCAUCAUUUUGAAGCUCAAAAGCAAGUUAAAUUAAACUAUGAAAAAGAACUAGUUCCAAAGAAAUUUGUGGUGCAUUCGAAAAUGGAUGUUCUCCGUUAAAAAGUAAGGAAAUCCGUGACAAGUAAGAUGUGUAAUGAAAAUAUAAACUAAAAUGCUUGUUGAUUGUGGUAAAAAUAAUAUCAAUUUUUCAAUUAGUAACAUUCUUCAUCCCCUUUAUGGAAGGAAUUUACAGUAGACAACAUUAAUAAAUUUAUAUUAAUAUAUAUUUUACAAAUAUUUAUACAAGGAAUGGUUUCUACUGAUAAAUUAGUAAGCUUCGUCUAUUUCAUUUAUUAAUUGCUUUCGUGAUGAUGGUUUUUAUUAUUAAUGCAUUAUAUGAUUUUAAUAAUGAACAUAGAAAUUAGAAUUAAAACAUGGCAGCAAUGAAAUUGUUGAAAGCUUGCGCAUGAUUUGAAUAUAAACAAAUGGUCCAAAACAUUUUAUUUCAUUAAAUCCAUUUGGAACUCAAGCUUUUCUCACCCUCUCUCUCCCCCUAUAUUAUGUAUUUAUACCAGAAUUGGAUACAGAUUUAUAAGCUUAUUUAAAUUAACUACUGAAAGGUGGAGGCCUUGGCAUGCCUUGCACGAUGCCGCAAGUCAAUACACCUUCCGGUAAGUUGUACUCAUCCUUGAGGGAUCGGUUAGGGGAAAUAACACUAGCAUAAAGCUGUUGCCCAAGGUAAUGCCUGUCCCAUAUCUCCGACCUCAGGUUCCACAUCCCGCAGUUGUCGAAUGUCAAUAGGAUUGCUGACCAGGAGUUGGGGAAUACCUGUAUGGUGUGUCUGCUCACGGCGUCAAGAAGAUUGUAGUUCAUCCUCUUCUCAGGGCUCCAUUUCCCAAUGUCCAUGCUGCAACAAAUCAUUAUACAACUUAUUACUUAAACUCAAGCAAAUCACCACAUGUAUUUGUUAUGUUAGAAGCUAUACUUACCCCACAGCAAAGAAUGAGUAGCCAGACAAGUGGUAGGACUGAAUGGCGGUCUUGUGAUUCUCAAAGAUGAUUUCCACAAAGUUUCUGUGUGUCAUGUUGAGGACAAUAGGUGCCAAAGUUACCUUAGUGUUGUCACUUGGAGGCUCAUCGGGAAUGGUAUCAUACUUGAAAACCUUGUCGGCUACGCCAUAGUAUUCUGCAAGUUUUAGUGGAGUGGUUGGUUCGACAUAGGAGACUCCAUUAAGAGCAUAUCGGAGCUUGCCAUCUACUCUUUGUGCAGUGUUGGCAAGCCUGAUGGUGCGGGUAAUGUUAAUGGAACCAUAUUUGUAGGAGCCCUGAGGGUUAGGCCUAGCAGCGUUAGAAGUCAAGUUCCAACGGAAGGUACGGAAUUGAUUGAGUGACCAAGCCCAACCAACAGGUGGUGGUGGCAACUCGGAUGAGGCAGCUCCCUUGCCAUUCUUGUAACGGAUGAUGCCAGUUGCUGUAACCUCACGUUUGGUAAAACAAGUAGAGGCCACCAUAUAGUAAUCCCUUGGUUCCUGGUUGGCAGUAACAAGCACACUGAAGCACUGUCCAACAUACACAUCAAGGGAGUCAUAGUCAUUCUGCAUUGUGUGGGAACCCUCCAUCUCAAUCAAUUUCAUGGUGUGGCCUUGGAACCUGACGUUCAGAGAUGUCUUGAUACCCAUAUUGCAAAUCCUGUACUUGUACGUUUUGCCUGCCUCCAUCGUAAACAGAGGUUCAUCCUUCCCAUCACCUUUCGUAACUUUUCCAUUAAGGUAGACACCGUCGCAUCUCCCAAGGUUGCGACCGCUAUCAAGAAUCUUCUUGAGGCUGGUGUGUCCCUUGUUGAAAAAGUCUCCCACUAAGAGAGUAUAGUCAUCAGCCGGAUCAGUGUAGGGAACAGGGAUGAGUAGACGGCUGUUAACACAGAGGCCACCGAAACCACCAACCGCCUUAUGCAUAGCCGUCACCGGAUAGUAGAUGUAGCUGCCAAUCUGAUCCUUCACCUGGAAUUUAUAGGUGUAAUUCUUCCCGGGGGGAUAGGACAGUUGGUUCCCAGAACACCAUCUUGCCAAGAGUUUUUCCUAUGUUGAAUGCCGUUCCUGCAACAAAUCCCAUUUCCACAGAUAAUUAGCUCAAUUCUUCACUAUCAUAAUCAUAUUAAUGUAAAAAAGAAAAUACUCUUGGUAGUCGCUUACCAUGUUACAAGGAAUGGCUCAUCAAGGUUAUUGAACACAUUGUGUUGAAGUUGGUCAGCAUGAAGCCAACACUCGAGUCCAUACAGGCCAUGAAGACCAAGCAAAGCUGGAACAGAUGCAAGGGCUGCUGAUGCAAGCUCAUUUUGUUCAUUUUGUUAUAUUUAGUUGAUGAAAUGAGUGUUAGUUCAUUUCUAACUAAGUUAGCUUUCUGAUUGAUGUAAUUAGCUUAUGUAUGAGCUGUAAACACAGUUUUGUAUAAGUUUACAAGCUAAGAUUUCAAGUUUCUAUAUAAUUAGUGGAGGUAGGUAAUUACUUGUUGAUUUUGACAAGCCUUAUGCUUGUGUUAUGUACUGGCUUCAAGCCAUUGUAUUAUGUAUGAAUGAAAUUAGUUUUGUUCAUCAAUAUUCUCUCAAAUUUCCCCAGCUUAUUCUCUUCUUUCUUUAACUCGAAAUUGUUUGUUUGCUCAGCAAGUUUAGAGGCUUGCUCGACAAGAUACUUGCUGAGUCUGCUUGAUUCUGUUGUUGCACCAACAAUUGGUAUCUAGAGCCUAUUUCUUAAGGGAUCUGUUACUCAAUUCCAUGGCUUCAUCAAGCUUUUCACCAGCUGCACCUCAAGUCUUCAAUGGAGAAGGCUAUCACAUAUGGGUGGUCAAAAUGAAGACCUACCUGCAGGCUUUCGAUCUGUGGGAGGUGGUCAACUUUGAUGUUGAACCAGAGCCACUUAGAGCUAAUCCAACAGUGGCUCAGAUCAGGCAGCAUGCUGAUGAAAGGACCAAGAGGCACAAAGCUAUGUCUUGCAUCCAAAACUCAGUGUCUGAUGUGAUUUUCACAAGGAUUAUGGCCUGUGAAUCACCAAAACAGGCCUGGGACAAGUUGCAGGAAGAGUUUCAAGGGACAGAGAGGACAAGGCAGCAACAGUUGUUAAACUUGAGGAGAGAUUUUGAGAAUUUGAAGAUGAAGGAAGAAGAAACUGUCAAGCAAUAUUCUGACAGGAUUAUGGCUGUGGUUAACAGCAUCAGGCUCCUUGGAGAGCAGUUCAAUGAAGCUAGGAUAGUGGAGAAGGUUAUAGCAACUCUGCCUGAGAUGUAUGAGGCAAAAAUCUCAUCUCUCGAGGACUCAAGGGAUCUGUCCACCAUCUCCCUGACAGAGUUGAUCAAUGCUCUAUAUGCUCAAGAGCAGAGGAGAGCAAGCAGACUGGAGGAGCACCAAGAAGGUGCCUUUCAGGCAAGAACAAAUACUGCCUACAAAGGCAAGAAGGCCUGGAGAGACAAGCCAAAGAAUGAUGCUGCAAGGAGAGAAGGUCAGACUUGCAAGCACUGUAGAAAGGCUGGUCAUUCAGAAGAAAAAUGCUGGUUCAAUCCAGAUGCUGUGUGUCAGCAUUGUAAGAAGAAGGGUCAUGUUGAGAGAGUCUGUAAGAGUAAGACCAAAUCGAGGCAAAAUCAGUUUCAACAGAUGAAAGCUGAGGCUCGAGUAGCUAAGGAGGACAGUGACCAAGAGGAGCAAGUCUUUGCUGUGUCAUGCUCAGCUGCUCAGGAAAGGCUCUCAUCUGGUUGGCUCCUAGACAGUGGAUGCACCAACCACAUGACACCUGAUGCUGCAAUCUUCAAGUCUUUAGACAGAAGCUGCAGAACUAAAGUCAAGAUAGGAAAUGGUCAUUUUAUUCAAGCUGAAGGCAAGGGUGAUGUGCUGAUAUGCACCAUUACAGGUACCAAAGUGAUUUCAAAUGUGCUGUUGGCACCUGAAAUUGACAGAAACCUCCUCAGCAUAGCUCAGUUGCUGGAAAAAGGUUAUUCAGUUGUGUUUAAAGACCACCAGUGCCAAAUCAGUGAUCCAAGUGGAUCCAAACUGAUGGCAGUCCCUAUGGCUGAUAAGAGCUUUGUGGUUGACUGGACAAAAAAGUCAGACAUUGCCUACACAGCCACUUCAGAUGAAUCCAAGCUGUGGCAUCAAAGACUGGGACAUGCCAACUUCAGAUCGAUGGCUCGAAUGGUCAGAGAGGACCUGGCUGAAAAUUUCAUCAACUCAGUGGACCAUGAUGAUGUAUGUGAUGUAUGUCAGCUAGGAAAGCAGGCCAGACUCCCUUUUCCCUCGAAUCAAGCCUGGAGAGCCUCUGAAAAACUCCAACUGGUGCAUACUGAUGUGUGUGGCCCUAUGAAGACUGAGUCAUUAAGUGGAAAUAGGUAUUUCAUACUGUUCAUUGAUGAUUUCUCGAGAUAUUGCUGGAUUUACUUUUUAAAACAGAAAUCAGAAGUGGCCUCAGUGUUUUGGAAGUUCAAGACUGCUUCUGAGACUGAAACAGGCUGCAAGCUGAAGACCAUAAGGUCUGAUAAUGGGACUGAGUACACCUCAGCUCAGUUCCAAGCCUUCUGUGAUAAGGCAGGCAUCAAACAUCAACUUACCAACACAUAUACACCUCAGCAGAAUGGGGUAAGUGAAAGGAAGAAUAGGAGUUUGAUGGAUAUGGCCAGGUGCUUGAUGAUUCAGAAAAAUCUGCCUAAAGCACUAUGGGCAGAAGCAGUUAACACUGCAACAUACAUUCAAAAUAGACUUCCAACCAAGGCUUUGGAUCAAAAGACCCCAUUCGAGGCCUGGUUUAGCUUCAAGCCAUCAUUGGCUCAUCUGAAGGUCUUUGGAUGCAUCUGUUAUGCACAUGUACCUGCUGUUAAAAGGGACAAAUUGUCUGAAAGGGCUCGACCUGGUGUUUUGGUGGGGUAUAGCACUGUUAAGAAGGGCUAUAGGAUUUUAGAUCCUUCAACAAACAAAGUGUCAAUAAGCAGGGAUGUGGUAUUUGAUGAGAGGUCAUGUUGGAACUGGGAAAGACAUGAACCUGAAGAAGUUUCUGAAGAACUUGCAGUAGACCAAGCUGAGCCAGACCAAAAUGUCCCUGAAAUGGAUAUUGAUGAUGAACCAGUCAGAGGAACAAGGUCAUUGGCUGAGGUUUAUGAAAGGGCUCAUGUAGCCAUAGCUGAACCAAGCAACUUUGAAGAGGCUGAGGCUCAACAAGGGUGGAAGCAGGCAAUGGCUGAGGAGAUCAGCAUGAUUGAGAAGAACCAGACCUAGAAAUUGGUUGAAAGGCCAGUCAAAAGGAAGGUGAUUGGGGUGAAAUGGGUGUACAAAGCCAAGCAGAAUGCUGAUGGUACCUUGAACAAGCUAAAAGCAAGGCUAGUGGUCAAGGGGUUCAGUCAGAGGUAUGGCUUGGACUACUUGGAGACCUUUGCACCAGUGGCCAGGCUCGACACCAUCAGACUGCUGAUUGCCUUAGCAGCACAGCUCGAAUGGAAGAUCCAUCAACUUGAUGUGAAAUCAGCCUUUCUGAAUGGUUUCUUAGAUGAAGACAUCUAUGUUGAACAACCACAAGGGUUUGAAAUAGCUGGCAGAGAGCAUAUGGUCUACAAAUUGAAGAAGGCCCUAUAUGGCUUAAAACAGGCUCCAAGGGCCUGGUACAGCAGAAUCGAUGGCUACUUGACUGAUCUGGGAUUCAAUCGAAGCAAGAGUGAGCCAACACUGUAUGUCAAGAAGCAAGGGACACAAACACAACUCAUUGUGUCCCUAUAUGUUGAUGACCUGCUGGUGACAGGAGGAGAUCAAGCAGUGCUGGUUAAUUUUAAGACCAAGAUGCAAGAGGUGUUUGAAAUGUCUGAUCUUGGGGAGAUGUCCUAUUUUCUUGGAAUGGAGGUGACUCAAGCACAGAAUGGGAUAUUUUUAUGUCAGAAGAGCUUUGCCACAAAGAUUCUGACCAAGUUCUCCAUGCAAAACUGCAAACCAACUAAAACACCUGUUGCUGUUGGAGAAAAACUAUCGAGCCAAGAAGAUUUUGAGAAGGUAUGUGAAACUACCUACAGGAGUCUAGUUGGUUGUUUGCUAUACUUGACUGCCACUAGACCAGACAUAAUGUAUGCUGUAGGAUUGCUCUCAAGGUUCUUGCAUUGUUGCAAUGAGAAGCAUUUCCAGGCUGCCAAGAGAGUGCUCAGAUAUGUCAAAGGCACUUUGGACUAUGGCUUAAGGUACAGCAGGAAAGGAAAUCUAAAUCUAGUUGGGUACACUGAUAGUGACUGGGCUGGAUCAAUAGAUGACAUGAAAAGCACCUCAGGGUAUGCUUUCAACCUUGGUUCAGCUAUGUUCUGCUGGAGCUCGAAGAAGCAAAGUCUGGUGGCACAAUCUACUGCUGAAGCAGAGUAUGUGGCAGCAGCAAGUGCUGUCAACCAAGCCAUUUGGCUUAGGAAAAUCCUGGCUGAUUUGAAUAUGGAUCAAAGGAAAGCAACAGAGAUCUUCUGUGACAAUCAAUCUACUGUUGCAAUUGCCAAAAAUCCUGUGUUCCAUGGAAGAACAAAGCAUUUUAGCAUUAAGCUAUAUGUUGUUCGAGAAAUGGAGCAAGCUCAGGAAGUGAAGCUAAUUCACUGCAAUUCAGAGGACCAGCUUGCAGACAUUUUGACUAAAGCCCUUAAUGUCACAAGGUUUGAGCAUUUAAGAAGAAAAUUAGGUGUUUGCACCAUGCUAACCAAGGAGGAGUGUUGAAGUUGGUCAGCAUGAAGCCAACACUCGAGUCCAUACAGGCCAUGAAGACCAAGCAAAGCUGGAACAGAUGCAAGGGCUGCUGAUGCAAGCUCAUUUUGUUCAUUUUGUUAUAUUUAGUUGAUGAAAUGAGUGUUAGUUCAUUUCUAACUAAGUUAGCUUUCUGAUUGAUGUAAUUAGCUUAUGUAUGAGCUGUAAACACAGUUUUGUAUAAGUUUACAAGCUAAGAUUUCAAGUUUCUAUGUAAUUAGUGGAGGUAGGUAAUUACUUGUUGAUUUUGACAAGCCUUAUGCUUGUGUUAUGUACUGGCUUCAAGCCAUUGUAUUAUGUAUGAAUGAAAUCAGUUUUGUUCAUCAAUAUUCUCUCAAAUUUCCCCAGCUUAUUCUCUUCUUUCUUUAACUCGAAAUUGUUUGUUUGCUCAGCAAGUUUAGAGGCUUGCUCGACAAGAUACUUGCUGAGUCUGCUUGAUUCUGUUGUUGCACCAACACAUUGAUCACAAUAUUGUUGUUGGUAGUAGAGUUAAUAUUUGGUCCUAGGAAUUGCCCGUUAAUAAGAAUACCCUUUACUGGCACUCCCAAAGGAGCAAUGGUGCCAUAGGUGACGUUCCAUUCGAAAAAAAGGGUAGGAUCUCCACCCUGAACCAUAAGGAUUGAUCCUGCCCAGAGAAAUAGCAUCGAUAUUAACAUUAAUCGAGCCAUCUCUUACCCUUUUUUUCAUCGACCGUAAUUUAUUAAUUAUCCCCUUCUAGAGGAAGAGGAAGAAGAAGAGGAAGAGGAAGAGGAAGAUGAUUUGCUUGAGUUGAUUUUGAAUUGCAUGCAUACCUCUCCUUUUAUACCACACAAUCUCCUCAUGAAUGCUUCCAUCUUAAUCCCUUAGAAUACGCUCAUCCAUUCAUUUAUUUCCUUGCUUUUAGCAAAUACUGUUUUUAACACUAAUCAAUUUGAUUUUAUCAUUCUCUUCUUUUCCAUCAAGGAUUUUCACAUCCACUAUGCUGAUGGCUAACAUUUUUUUUAGGGUAAUGGUUACUUUGAUGAGAGUUUUUAUAGUUAUUUUCUUAAUUUAAAUAUAUAAAUAUGAUAAUUUUUAAAAUAAAUGUAUUAAAGUAACAUUAACCUCCAUUCUUAUCAUUAAUGCUAGACACUUGAUAUUAAGUGAAAUUUCAUAUAUAAUUAAAUUAUGACCACCAUAAAAAGUUCAUAUUGAAUAAAUAAUGUGAAAAGAAAUUUACAAUAAACUUUAUUCUUUUGGAGAGAUUAUAACAUUAUAUCCAUUUGUGACAUCCUAUGAGAGAAUUUAUAUUAAAUAUAGAUAAAAUUAAAACAUUGUAGAGGGUUCAGAGCAAACUUUGAAAAUAAAUGAACAUGAUGUAUCGAAAAAAGGCAGAGAUGAAUACUAGAACAGAUCCUAUAACAUUAAUUACAGCGACGGGUGAUGUUUGAUAAGCAAGAGAAAGGGAAUUGUGGUUGAUGAUGAGGCUAAACAACAAAAAAAGUUGAAAGAAUUUUAGAGAGAGCUUUGAGAAUUAGAAUACCAAAGUGCCAAAAAGUCACUCAACUAGUUGUGAUGGGCUCCUAUUUAUACUAGGUAUUUAAUAUGAGUAAUGAAAUUAGUUUUCAAUUGCAAUGGCGAUAAUGGUUAAGACGGGAUGGUUAAUGACUUUUUUGGUGAUGAUAAUGAUAAUAUUGAAGAAGUGUUCACCAUAUUUUUUAAAGAAAGGAAAAACACUGAAUGUUAGAGGAAAAUGUUAAGAGGAAACCUCUUAACUACCUUCAUAUUUAAUCUGCCAAGCCAAGUUCUCCGAAAAAUCCUAAGAGUGAAGACAACCUGAGAACUCUGUCAUAUCCCAAGGUUAUUUCCACUUCUUCUACUUUGGUGAAGCAGUAUCUUGUGAAACAUUUACCUCGGAACAUCUCUUAGAAUGCAAGACAAUGGAUGUUCUCGAACGAGAGUUGUUCAUAAAUAAGGGUUAUUCUUACUUGUUCCAAACAAAAGUUGUUCUAUGGCAAUGUUUUGUUUGGUAGAGUUUAUUGUGAAUAAUGACUCUUUCGAAAAAAACAAAAUUCUACUAAAUAGAAAUUGUUCUAAACAUAGUUAUACGUGAAACACUAUUACUCUAAACAAAAGGUGCUUUGAACUUGAUCGAAUAUCACACACACAGGUAUAUGCAUCGUUACAAAUGGUAUAAAAUAUCGAUCCCACAAAGAACUUUUACUAAUUAUAAUGCCAAUCAUCGAAAUUUACUUUGAUACCUAUCCAAAUAAAUCAAUGACUAAAUUAUAUAAAAGAAAAUUAUAGAGUUCAAAUACAAGGGAAAUUCAAAUAGGCAUUACUGUUCUACAUCAAAAUACCAGUGGGAUGGCAUGACCCCAAUUUGUCUAAUAACAAUAACGUAUCGAUUUCUCUAAGGGGUCGACUGAGCACUUUAUUCCAAAAUCUUGUGAAACUUGUAGUUUGGACAAUGAAUCAGCUACCUUGUUUUUGUCCCUCUAAUUUCCAUAAUAUGUUUGUGGUGGCUUGAAAAGUGAAUAACAACUCUUUAAGUUUGAGAUUCAACUAUUAGAUUAAACUAGUUUUUUUUUUUUGUACAAAGGAAGGCUUAACUAGCCAUGAUGCAAAAAACAUUAGAGUGUAGGAGCUAAAAAUUCCUAUUAUCUUCACUUAGCACAUCAAUUACUCUUAGAAGAGUGUCCUCAAAGAAACCAGCACAAAGACCUUAGUUAAAUACAUGGAUCAGAGACAUGAAGAUUGUCCAAUGUGAGAAUAAGGAAGUGGUGAAAGUAUCAGAGACUACAGAGUAAGGUAAGUGUUGUUCUGCAAAUCCAAAUAAAAGUGGUUGGCCAAAAAAUAUUGAUCUGAAAGUGUUAGAAGUUGAAGUGAUUCGUUCAUCAAGUGAAGAUGACGUCAACGAAUUAAUUGCAAAUCUAGAUAAUGUGAGUCCAAUGUCCUUGGCUGUGAUGGUGGCUUUACCUCUAGUGAGGUUUGACCUUUGUUAGUUGUGAUGAUCAUUGGUGCAGGAGGGCUAGUAGGCAUUUGGAUAAAAGUGACGAUGAAAUUUCAAGUAACAUAAAGGGUGUUAGAUGUCGAAACCAUUUUUUUGAAAAAACGGGAAUCGACUUUGUUUGAAAACGAAAAUUAAAACGGGAAUUGCCACCGACAUUUAUUAGGUGUGAUCGGAUCACCUUUGUUUUAAUAAAACAAUUUUAGUUUACUAAAACGGCAUUUUGGUCUAUGAAAUUCAAGAGAACAAGUUCGGGAGUCAGUUACGUGCGAGGAAAGAUUGGCACCCUCGACACGCCCAAAAUUGGUACCGAAUUGAUUAGUUAAUGUCUUAAUGUCGAAAGUUGAAAAUCGAGAAUGGAUUUAAAAUACGACCCUUUUUAUUAACAUCAAAAAAAUGCUUGAAUUAGAUCAAAAGAUUGCUAAAGAUUCUCUCGUCUCGGGAUAUCGAAGUAUCACAUCCCGUAAGUUAGGACGCAAUACCAUGAACUCCCGAGCCCAAGUUUGUCUUUAAUUUCAAUUAGAAAUCCAUAAAUUUCAAAACUCAAAAGGAUAUUUGGCUAUUUAGAACCAACGAGAAAACAGAAACCCUGUAAGUUAGGGCACAAUUCCUCGAUGUUCCAAAACGCAAAACAUUGCCUCAUUUAGAAAAUUUCUUUUUGAAAUAUAGCGCGUAUAAUGUUUAAUAAAGUGCGUUAUUCAUUUGGAUUAAAAUAAAACAAUUUAUUGGAUGAAUGUAAUGAGACUUGAUUCAUGGGCGAUGAUAUGAAAAUAUAGUAAUGAAUAUAAGACAAAUAUACAUGGACACUACAUUAUACAAAUGAAUAGUAGUAGUGCAAACUUGUGAAAUAAACAGAUCAAAAUUCACAUAAUGGCAAUAAUCACACAAGGUACAUCAUUUAAAUAUUAACAUUAACAAUUAAAGACAAAUGAAUUUAAUAAUAAUUUAAAAGGUAUAAAACAAAUAAAAAUGAAUAAGAUGUAAAACAAUUUUAAAAUGAGGUUAAAAUAAUGUGAAAAAGGAGAUUUAAAAUUGACAAUGUGUACAAUAAUUUAAAAUAGAGGAUAUAUAUAUAUAUAUAUUAAAAUAGGUAAUAUAUAUAUACAUAAUAAAUACUAUAUAAAAAAAUCGAGAAUGAACAAUGAUAGAACAAUUUAAUACAAAUAAGAGAUUUUAAAAUAAGUUGUAUAAGACAAAUUUAAAUAAGAAUAAGACAAGUUUAAAAUAACACAUAUAAAGAAAUUUAAAAUAAAUAUUAAGAGACUCAAAACAAUAAUACGUAAAAGAGAAAUUUAAAAAAGAUAAUAUAUAUGAAAUUUUAAAGUGAACAACAUACAAAAUCUUUAAGAUUGAUAAUAUACGCAAAGAUUUAAAAUAAAUCAUAUAUGGAAGAAAUUUAAAAUGAAUAAUAUGUAAGAAUAAUUUUGAAAAUAUAUAAUAUAUAAGAAAUAUGUAUAACAAUUUAAUAUAAGUAAUAUAUGAAAUAUCAAGGUAAAUAAUGAUAAAAGGUUUGCGAUAAACAGUGAAAGAAUUUGAAAUCGUCUACAUAUAAAAUAGUAUAACAAAAUAACAUAUAAAAUUUAAUAUAUAUAUAUAUAAGAUGGUUUAACAUAAAUAAUGUAUAAAAAUUUACAAUAAAUAAUAAAUAAUUUAAAAUGAAUGACGCAUAAGGCGAGUUUAUAAAAUGAAUGAUGUAAGGGAAUUUUAAAAUCUAUAUUACAUAAAGCAAAUUACGAAAGAUUUGUAUGAAUAAUUUUAAAAUAGAUGAUAUGUAUAUAAAUAAAAGUGUAAAAUAAAUAAUAUGGAAUAAGUAAAAUGGAGGUAUAAACAUAACUUUAAAAUAUAUAUAAGUUAAUUUAAAAUAAUAAAUAAGAAGUUUAAUAUAUAUAAUAUGUAAAAGAAUUAAAACUAGAGAAUAUAAAUAUAUUUUAUAAUAACGAUUCAAUAUAAUAUAUAAAGAAUUAUUAGAAAUACAUAAUAUGUAAUAACUAAGGGAAUUGAAUAUAUAGCAAUAAAACAGUUAUGAAAGAAUAGCAAAUAUGUAAAAACUUGAAAUAAAUGGUUUAUACACAUAUAAUGGGUAAAGGUUAUAAAAUAAAUAAUACAUACUUAAGGUAAGUUGAGAUAAAUAAUAACAAUUUGAAUAAAUAAUAUAUUAAAGUGAAUUACAAUGAACAAUAAUGAUAUGAAUAAAAAGUGUAUUAAAACAAAUUAAGAUAGAUGUAAAGAGAAUGAAUUGGAUAAAUUUAGGACGUAAUUGAAAGUGAAUCAGAACUCAAGGUAUAAAUUUGGAAUAAAAAGGCCAACAAGGACUAAAUCAAAACGCGCUUAGACUUGCGAGGACCAAAUGGGGUAAUAUUCCAAGUCUAACGCGCUGCGUUUCGUUUGUUCAGCCCAAGGAUCAAAUUAAAAAUGACAUAAAAUAAUCGAGCGAUAUUUGAAGAGAAAAAAAAUACAAAUCAUGACAAAAUCAAAGGUCAGAAAAGGAGGAGGGGCCAAAGUGGGAAAUUUCCCAUUUCAAGGAAACGCGCGGACCCCUUGGAGGGGGUCGGGUCGCGCGCGAGUGCACCAAAACGUGCCAUUUCGGCACUUAGUACCCCACACUCAAAACGCUGACGUUUUGUAAGUGUAUAUAAGGCCCAAUUUUUGUUACAGAAUUUAUUUUAGCCUUCAAAAAAAAACUGAAACAGACCCUUAAACUCCCUCUCCCUCCCCCUCCUCCAUUUUCUCAUUUCGGCUAGGGUUUCAACACUCAUCAUCGCCGCCGUCGUCAUGGCUCUUUGAGGCCACCGUGGUUCCCACCGUAGACGGUGGUUAAGGGCAUACGAAAAGGGCUUUUCACUUCCGUUCAAGGCGCCCGAGAGUUCAUGACGAUAGACCCCCUUUUAUUUCCUCUUAGAAUCGAUUUCAACAACGGAGCAGAGGCUCCGGCGACGAGAAUCCGGGCUUAGGUAAGUCCCAUUUUCUCUUCCUCCUUAUUUUUUGUUAUAAAAUAAAACUAUUAAAGAAAAAAAGAAAUAUCAAAGUAAGGAAAACGAAAAGAUAAACGAUAAAACGAGAUUUAACCUUUGUUUUCUCUGCUUUUUGAUUGCUUAAAAUCGUGUGUGUUACAAUCUUUUUGUGUUUGUGGCUAUAUAGCCGAAUACAAAAAUCUAUUAUUUGCUACUGUUUUGGCACUGCUUUUGCUUUUUCCUUUCUUUGCUAUGUUUGCAGGUCCAUGGAGGGUCAACGUGUAACGCCCCAAUUUUCGGGAAUUCUGUGAAUGUUGGCAAAAUUUCAUGCUUUGAUUUUGUCAUUUGUGAGUGAAAUUAUGAAAUAGGACCUAUGUGAAAAUGUUUGAAAAUGCUAUAGGCUAAUUUGUAGUGGCCAAAUAAAUAGUAGUGCAAAAUAGGAGGAUUUACAUGUCAAACUUUCCAUUUUACAAGAAGUGGCCGGCCAUCAUGUUGUUGAAAACAAUAUGUGCACUUGAUAUCCAUAAUUUAUGGUACAAAUUGAUAAAAAAAAUUGAUAAUGGGUUAGGUAAAUAUUACAUGAUGGGCAUGAUAAGCAUUAUGGGCAUUUUUUUUAUUGACAUUAUGGCAUAGGUAUGGCACAAAUAAUAUAGGUUAUUUUGUGUCAUAAAAUGUUGGUAAUAAAAUAACAAAAGGAUGAAAAGAACAAAGUUUUGUCCAUCUUUGUUCAUCAUAGCCGAAAGUUAGAGAAGAGAAAGGAGAGGAGAAAGCUCUUGAGUAUUCGGUCACUAGGAGGAGGAAAAUUGAAGGUAAGUUCUUGGUACCUUGCUUCUAUUUUGAGGUUCAUGAGUUCUUCUUGAUUCUACCUUAACUCUUGAAGCAUAUUUUGGUUUUUAGUUGUGUUGUGAGCAUUUAGUCAUGAAUUAAAAUGAAGGAAAUGGUUGUUGUUUCAUGUUCUUUUGAUGAAAAAUGGAAGAUAGGUGAAGUUGAGCCAAACAAAUGAGCAUGCAUGUGCCUUAGAUGCUAAAGGGAAAAAUCGGCUAACAUGUUGUGCUUUAAAGUGAUGAAAUGGAGAUUAUACUUAAGUAAAAUCAUAGAUAUGUGAUGAUUGAUUGGUGAUAUACAUGUUUAAAUAACAUGCAUGCAAGGUAUGUGUGAAAGAGUGAUUUGGUAAUAAAUCUGCUUGGGACAGCAGCAGUAAUGUAACUUUGGAAAAUCACCAUAAAUUUUGGGAGAUGAAUUAGAAGCUAAAUAAAUUAUGUAAUUAAAUCUUAUUGAGUCUAGUUUCUAAUGAAAUAAACAAGAACAUAUUUUUAAUUCUGUAUAAUGAGAAAUUUGAUUCGUAAUGAAGAGUGGUCAGAUUAGUCAAACAGUGAAACAUGGGAAACUUUGAGAAAAAUCUGGUAUUGAUUGGCUAAACUAAAAAUUCUGAAAAUUUUAUGGAUAGAAGAUAUAUGAGUCUAUUUUCAGGAAAAAUUAACGGCACUUGAUUUGGAGUUUCGUAGCUCCAGUUAUAAAUGAUUUAGUGACUGUUGCUCAGGAAGACAGCUUGCAGUGAAAUUAUUAUUAUGUGGUAAACACUGACAAAAAUUUGUUAAUGAGUUGCUUAUUGAUUUCUUAUAAGCUUGCUCUGAUCUGUAGGUGUGGUUGGCCGAAUAUUGUAAGGGGUUAAUACGUAGUUCGUAUUUGAAUAGUUAGAUUAACGUGUUAGUAAUCCAAUUGUAGGCAGUUCGUGUAUGGAUCUCGUCAGCAUAUCGUCGCAAACAGGUGUGUAAUUAACACCAUCUUAUAGACUAGAUCGGCACAAGCCGAAAAGCCGAAAUGCCGAAAAACCGGUAUUUUGAGAUCUUGCGAGUGUGUGAAUGCUCAUGAGAUUAAUAGUUUGAUGUAUAUGGUAAAUUAAAGUGAUAAGACUGCAGAGUGCGCGAUUCUGUGCAUUUCGAUAUUUUUGGGCUUAAUGGACCAAAAACGGGAUAAUAGGCCAACGGGCCCAAAUUGGUAAGAAAACGCGGUAAGUGUUUCUGAUCGUACGUAAAUGGCUAUGUUAUGUAUGAAAACCUUAAGAAUAGUUAAAUUACUUGAAUACCCCUAUGUAUGCAAAAUCACCAUUAUACCCCUAGGGUUACUUUUGACUGAAAAGCAUGACGAUCUGAUUCUGUAUGAUGUAUGCCAUGAUUAUAUAUCUAUUGCAUGGGGACUUGGGUUAUACUAUGGAGGAAGAGUCCUGGUGGCUAUGCCACAAUUAUCUGAUCUGGAGGCUCUGCCACAUAUAUCUGUUCUGGUGGCUAUGACACGAUUAUCUGAUCUGGUGGCUCUGCCACAUAUAUCUGUUCUGGUGGCUCUACCACAAUAUCUGUAUCUGGUGACUUCGUCACAAUAUCUGGCAGCCUCGCUGCGAUUUCUGUGGUGUGUAGCGGUUGGGUGGGUCGAGUAGUCUCCCCACAUGGUGUAAGGCUGGUAUGGGGGUGUUAUGGAUGAAUCUGGGUUAGGUUUCUGCAUAAACAUGUAAUAUCUGUUUUGUUCUGUUAUGGGCCUAUGGGCUUUAUUCUGAAUUUUGGAGCUGUGAAGGAAUUCGGAGUGGCCACCCGUUCUAAAAGUUUGAUUUUCUUCUGGUGAACUGGACAUCCUUUUAUUUACAUUUAAAGUUUUGGGUUUUUAAAUGUAAUAAGGCCGCUUAAUUAUUUUUUAUGGUUUUAAUAUGUAUUACUAAGAUAGGUAUUACUUAUUUUAACUGUUGAAAUUGGAUAGCUUUAGGGCGCGUUUUCAAAAACAACAAUUGAUUUCAAAAUAACACGACAACAAGCAAAGCUUCCGCAAUGAAAGUAUUUUUCAAAAUUAAUCACUUUUCCUAAAAAUGACUUAAUCAAAUCGGUUUCCUAGAAAUAUCCAUGACGUUAAGGUGUGGCAAUGGCGGUAUGCAUGUCUAGGAUUGGAUCCGAAGGGAGCUCGGUACUUAAGCAGUCCGAUGGACUCACCACCUCUUUUCCAGUUUCCUACCUGGUGCACAGCUUCUAUUCACUUUAACCUAUAAUGAAAUUAUCUUUUAAAACACUAAGUAAGUUUUUCUGGAUCAACAAUAUAAAAUGUUUUGAACGCUUCGAUAUGGCAUGUCGGAUCCGGUCAUAACGUCUAGGCCGGGUUCGGGGUGCUACACAACGGGGGUGAAAACCGGCCAUUUUGGUGCAAGGAAGCAGCCAUCGGGCGUAGUGCAUGCCGAGGGCGCACAUGGGAGGGGGGUACGGCGCGAGGGUGACCUAGGGUUUUCAUUUUCCUAAACAUGAGUUUAGGUUUUGGGCUAACGGGCCUAAUAUGUAAUGGGUUAAUGGCUUAAGUUAAUGGGUUUGUAAUUGGGUUAAAACUUUUUGUAAGUGGACUGCUUAUAUUUUUUGGGGUUUUUAUUUAAACGGGCCGGGAAAAAUUGGGCCCGUACAUUAGAUUUUGCUCAUUAGUCCAAUAAAAUGAAAAUGGGGGUAACUGUGUCAAAUAUGGUUGUGGAACGUUCAGAAGGUAGUAAUGAGCUGUGCAAUCGUAGUAGGGAAAACAAAGAGUGUUGAUGGGCACAACGAUAAAGAGAGGAGGUACGAGACUUAUAGCAUAUAAAAGGAUAUCUCAACCAAUGUGCCUCUGAAAAGCCUGAUCAUUGGUAUUUAUAUGAAAUAAAAUUUACUUUGGAAGAGUAAAAGAAAGCUCAUUUUUCCCAAACAAUCUGCCUCUAUAUUUAUAUGUAAGUUUCAAUUUUUGAUUGCAAAGAAUUUGGAUGUGUCUUUACAAGGGCUUCACAACUUGGCUCUCCAUUUUGGUCAUCAAGUAAAGAAAAAAGCUCAGCAUUGUUGUUUUCAACUCUGACUCUGUGAAACCCCUUGUUCUAUGUAAUAUUUAAGCCAAGCUUCAACCCAAAACACUGAGCACAAACCCAAGUUUCUCAUGUGCCCAACAUAUAAAAGAAUAGAAAACCAAAAUUUCACAUUUAAAAAUAUAGGAAAAAGAAUUUGAUCAUGAUGUGAAUAUAUAAAAAUAAUAUAAUAUGUACAUUUAUAAAUUAAUGUAUAUCAAAAUCUAUAUAAAACUAGAAUUUUAAUUUUAAAAAUAUAAAAAAAAAUUGAGCAUGUGAAUAUAUAAAAAUAAUAUAUAUUUAUAAAUUUAAAAUACUACUUAUAUAUAUUUUUUCUCUAAUUCUUAUUUGUGUUUCAUUCACGUUUAUAUUGUCCAUGUAAUUAAAUAAAUGGUUAUGGUAAGGAUUAAAUAUUUGAAACUUGUUUGAUGAAGAUGUAUUAGUCAUGAAAUAUUAAUUAACCGUCCACACAAUGAAUGUGUAAAUAUUAUAUUAGAACAAAAGAGAAUCAUGGUAAAAUCAAAUCGGUUAAUGAUAAAAAUAGUAUAUACUAAAAGAAAGUAAAGAAACAAAUAGAUGUACGUAAUUUAAGGAUUUCAAGAGAAAUAUUGAAUGGUGAAGAAUGAUUGUAUUAGAAGGAGUUGUGUUGUAUAAAAGGGUAAGCCAACAUGCAACUCAAAUCAUCUCAAACAAAUCUUCUUCCUCUAAGAGGGGAUAAACAGUCUUAAUUUAUAAAAUUAUAUAAGAGAAUUUGAAGCCAAUAAAAUGGCUCCAUCGACGAUAAUAGCGGUGUUUUUCCUCUGGGUAGGAUCACUGCUUAUGGUUCAAGGUGGAGAUCCCACCAUUAGUUUCGAGUGGAAGGUCACUUAUGGCACUAUAUCUCCUUUAGGUGUUCCCGUUAAAGGUAUUCUUAUUAACGGGCAAUUCCCUGGGCCAAAUAUUAACUCUACCACCAACAACAAUGUUAUAGUCAAUGUGUUCAACAACCUUGAUGAGCCAUUCCUUUUGACAUGGUAAACAAGAGUACUUUUUUUUCCCAUUUGAUUAUAUUAGUAAAGAGUUGAGCUUAAUUACAUAUUUAUAUAUGGAAAUGAAAUUUGUUGCAGGAGUGGCGUGCAGCAUAGGAAGAAUCCUUGGCAAGAUGGUGUGCUUGGAACCAACUGUCCUAUCCCCCCCGGGACGAAUUACACCUAUAAAUUCCAGGUGAAGGACCAAAUUGGCAGCUACAUGUAUUAUCCAGUGACGGGUAUGCAUAAGGCGGUUGGCGGUUUCGGUGGCCUUCGUAUUAACAGUCGUUUACUCAUUCCUGUCCCCUAUGCUGAUCCAGCUGAUGACUAUACUAUCAUAGCAGGAGAUUUUUUCAACAAGGGACACACCACCCUCAAGAAAAUUCUUGAGAGCGGUCGUAACCUUGGUAGAUGUGAUGGUGUCCACAUUAAUGGAAAAGUUGCUAAAGGUGAUGGUAGCGAUGAACCUCUCUUCACCAUGGAAGCAGGCAAAACCUACAAGUAUAGGAUUUGCAAUGCGGGUCUCAAGACAUCUCUGAACGUCAGGUUCCAAGGCCACAACAUGAAAUUGGUUGAGAUGGAGGGUUCCCACACAGUGCAAAAUGACUAUGAAUCCCUUGAUGUUCAUGUUGGACAGUGCUUCAGUGUGCUUGUUACAGCCGACCAAGAACCAAAGGAUUACUUUGUUGUGGCCUCUACCCGUUUUACCAAACAAGAGGUUACAGCAACUGGUGUCAUCCGUUACACCAAUGGCAAGGGCGCACCCUCACCUAAGUUGCCACCACCACCAGUUGGUUGGGCUUGGUCACUAAAUCAAUUCCGUACCUUCCGUUGGAACUUGACUGCCAGCGCUGCUAGGCCUAACCCUCAGGGCUCCUACAAGUAUGGUUCCGUUAACAUUACCCGUACCAUCAAGCUGGCCAACACUGCUCAAAAAGUAGAUGGCAAGCUUCGAUAUGCUAUUAAUGGAGCCUCCUAUGUCGAACCAACCACUCCACUAAAACUUGCAGAAUACUACGGCGUAGCUGACAAGGUUUUCAAGUACGAUACCAUUCCUGAUGACCCACCAGCUGAGAUCACUAAAAUAACCAUGGAACCUAUUGUCCUCAACCUGACACACAGAAAC